CAUCGACCACAUCUAUACCAAAACCUCACCAGACAUAAUCAAAGUAAAUAAACCAUUCAUAAUGCUAAGUAGAUAGCUCAAUUGCAAUAAUGUACUACAUAACACGCUAGUACAUUAUGCAUCACCAUAAAUACGUGAACCCUCCUUUCCUCCUCGUCAUUUUCUUUAUAGUAUAUACCAAUGUUUAACUUUACAUUGUUUUUUUUAUUAGUCUUUGCAAUAAUUAUCCAUUUUCUAAAAUUAGAGUUAAAAUUGUAUCUUAAAUUAAAACAAAUUAUAAAAUAACAAUAAAUGGUGGUUUUAAGAUUUAUUUGAGAAAUAUGUAAAAUAAAAAGAAUAUAUACUUUCUUUGUUUUGAAAACUCUUUUUAGAGUGGGGAAAGGGCCACAUCUUAGAUUUGGAGUGGGAUUGAAUAGGUAAAGUUUUAUUCUUUGGAUCCUACCAUCUCCCCCUUUUACUUUUGUUCUUCAAUACCCAAUUAUUGAAUCACCUCUUCUCUUCUCUUUCUUUCUUUUUAAUUUGGACUCUUUCACUUACUAAAACCUAAAGAGCUAAUCUAUCAUUUUAUUAUUAUUAUUAUUGUUGAUAAAUUGAUAAUAUAAAUUUAAAUAGUUUAAUUAUAAUGUUGAACUAAUUUUUGUUUUUAAAAAAAUUAAAUUAUUUUUUCUACCUGAAAUUUUAUAAAUUUAUUUAUGGUUAUUUUUGGGUGGUUUGGAAUAUGAAGUAUUAGAAUUGAAGAAGAAAAAGUAGGUAAUGAAGUUUGGAGAAAAGAGUAAAAAAGAAAAAUCUUAUCCAAUCUUGAAGAGCUUAUUAAAAAGUAACUUUUCUAAUAAAAAGGAAAGAAUGAGAAAUUAUAAUUUAAUUAGUUAAGUAAUUAAUUAGAAAUAAUAAUAAGAAAGAAAGACUUUGGUGGGAGAAAUAUAAAGGCUAUGUCAAAGGCUACCCCUAAACCUACCACCGACUAUCAUUUUGAAUCUCUACUUUUCAACAAUUCCCAUUUGGACCUUCCCCCAAUCAUUUUCUUUUUUCUUACAAUACUCAUAUUUAGUUUGUUGUAUUUGUAAAUUCUUUUGCAUGCAUGUUAUAUAUUAAUUAAUAUGUUGGACAUAUGAUUGGUUUAUUUUGUUAUAAUCUGAUUAUUUAUAAAUUGGUGUUUAAUUUCUUAACUUAUAAUAAUGAUACUGUUAUCUUGUUGUUGGUUUUAAUGGAAGAAAGAUCAACAUACAAUUGAAAUAGGUGUCAAUUUAACCUUUUCCUCAAAAGUCUUCUAUGGCUCUUGUCUUUUUAUAAUUGUCAUAAAAGAUAUAUCAUAUAAUUGCUUGAUUUCAAGAGAUGUGGAAUGUCUACAUUGAAGUUGGAUUGUAGUUAAUUUAAUACUCACACAAAUUAAAAAGAGCUUGGAUAGAUAUAUAUAGUUGGAUUUGGUUUGAGCUAUCCAAAUCAUUUUAAAAGACACACACAAAGAUUUGGUUUGAAGUUAUAAGAUAGUUUGAUAGCAAUCACUAUGUAUAUCUUAAAAUUUCUUUAUUAUGAAAUGUGGUAUGAGCAAAAUGUUGAUUAACUAGAUCCAUUUUGUAAUUUCUAAAGUAACUUUAGAAAUUACUAUAUAUCUUUUUUUUGUUCUUUGGAAUGAUUUACAUAUUUCUUAAAUAAAAAGUUGUCAAAUGCUUGAUCAAAUUUGGAAGUUUUCAAAAUAUUAGUUUGGUCUUUGAAAAUACUCAUAUAAAGUAGAUGAUAAAUCAAGAUAAAAUUAAAAUAAAAAAACAAAGAUGAAAAUAGAUAUAAAAAACAAAUAAUAUCUUUAGAAAAACAAAAUCUCCAUCACAAGAUCUUCUUUUGAUAGUGUUCAAAUAGAUUAGGAUCAAAGUUUAAUUUUACAUGUGGAUCUUUAGGAAGAAAAUUCACAAGCUAUAAUUAGAAAAGUUCAGAAAUAAAUGAAACAUUAUUUCUUUGGCUCCACUCAUUGACCUUAUUAGUUGUGAUUUAGGAUACAAUCUUUAUCAGCAAAUUUAAACAUACAAUAAUAUCUUAAUUAAAUAAUUUGAAUCUCAUUCAAAUUUUAUUAUCUAUAAUAAUGAAUAUAUAAUACACAUCCAUAUAUAUUCAAUGCAAUAAACAUACACAUAUAUUCCUCGAUAUUUAAUAGUAAUGAAGGUUAUGGUAAUCCACAUGAAUUGGUCUUGGCUUGUUGAAACAUAACAUAUGACUAUGUUUCUCUAAAUUGGAGGGAUAUCCCCUUUAGGCUUUUUAUUUAUAGGUUCAUGGAUGAUUCCUCCUAUCUUUACAUAAUAAUGGUUCCUCUUUAAAGGCUAACUUUCAUUUUAAAAAUCUAUACCUUUUUUUUUCCUUUGGCUCUUUCAAUCUUUUUUGCAAUUACUCUCUUUACCCUAAUCUACCACAAACUGAUAUCAUUGUCAUUGACAUGCCUAUCUUCUAGGACUCACAAAAAUUUGUGUCUUUUUUAUUGAAUUUGUUUACCCAUUUGUGUGUAAUGAAAUGUAAAACUAGUGGACAUAUGUUCUUCCAUUGUGAUUUUACUUUGUAGCUUAUUAAUUUUCAUCCUUCCAUUUUCAGGUCUAAACUGUUAAACUUCUUUUAAAUCAACUGACAUUAGAUUGUCUAAAACGAUCUUUCUUCGUUUCUUUUUUAUGUUAUCAAACACGUCAAUUAUAUAAUUUAAUUGUUUUUUAAUAUGAUGUUACAUAUAAAGGACCGUUCGACUCUCAGAUUAUGAAGGAGUGGAGUGAACUAUUUUAGCUCACUCCAUGUUUGCUUCAAGGAUUAUCACAAUCCUAGAAUUAUGACUAUUCUAUUUUUCUUUUCUUUCUUAUUUCUCUUACUCCUCACUCCCUCCUUUCAUUAUUUCUUACUUUUCCAAAUAUAGAUUAUAAUAAUUAAAUUAUAAUAAUAUGAACUCCAAAUACAGACUAUAAUUACAUAAUUCACCGACUAUAAUAACUUAUUUCACGCCCCACAACAUUCCGGAAGAGGUUACAACUAUAUAUUAAUUUAACUUGUUAGAUUUUGAAAGAACAGUGAAGUAAUUUGUUCUUAAAAUUGAAUGUAAAUUUUAUUUUUAUUUUAAGAUACUUGAAUUGAAAAAAAAGGUAAAAAAAAGAAAUAAUAAUUGAAAAGGCGCCUGAAACAGUGAGUGUACGACACGUGGCAGUGUGGAAUUAUUACAAAAAUGAUAUUCAUAAAUUGAUGAGAGACGACUAGUCAAACCUCUCUUGAUAAUGACCCUUCCUUUCCCUUUUACCGAUUACCUUCCCCCCUUUUUCUUUACUUCAGGAGACCAUUUUUUUUUAUGUUUCCUUUCCUUUCCUUUCCUUCCAUUUUUGUUUUAUGUUUUUAAAUUAAUUAUUGUAUCCAUUUAAAUUUCAAAUUAAUAGUUAUAGUUAUGACAAGUUAAAUCUAGAGAGCUUUUAUUAGAGUCUUUAGAUAGAGAAUAUGCUCAAGUGUAAUUCAAAUGGAUGACUACUAUGGCAGUUGAGUUUGUAGUUGAGUCUCUAUAGAUUAAAUAGUACAAGAUCUUUAGGGUGUGAAACAAAAGUAGAAUGUUAUGAGAGUUAUGUAUAGACAAUAUAUUAUAUGUGAAAAUAGAAUAAGAAAAUCAAAAUUCUAAUAUUAUACACACCCUUUGACACAGAGAAAGCAGAUUUUGGAUGUAUAUAACUGCAUGAGAGAAAGAAGGUGUUGAGAGAAAAGAGUUAGAUUUGAUUUGAGACGCCAUGCAUGUCUUUUUGUACAUAUAACAUAUAUAUAUACAUAUAUAUAUAUUAUGUGUAAGAGAUUUAGGCAGAGUGUGUAUGGAAAGAUAAAGCAGAAAGGGCCUAAGGCUGAAGAAGGACCAGAGAUUUGCUGCACAAAUUUGGAGAUUUUGGAGCUAUUGCUCUUAUCUUAUUAUAUUCUUCCAUCAUUUUUACACACUCCUUUUCUUUUCUUUUUGUUUCUUCCCAAACUAUACACUUUUUUCUUUUCCUUUUAAACAAACAUAUCCUUUUCUAAGAAUCUCACUCACUUUUUAAAAAAAAUUUCCCCUUUUCUCUUUUUUAACUUUCGUUUCAUGUCCAUUCUAUAUUACUUCAUGUUAGAAAUGCAUGGGUCGAGAGGUUUUUUUUUUAAAGAGAAACAUUCAUACAUCAUUUCUAAUCACUUAAAUUUGGUUUAAUAUUUACUUUUACACUUUUGAAUGAAAAUUCUCUCUUCUCAUAAUUAAAAGUGUGUUUAAAGAGUAAUUUUAAUCAUUUUAGAAUCACUCUCAAACAUGUCUUUAGAGUAUUUAAUAUUAUGUUUUUAUUUACUUAUGUGAUCUUUUAGCCAUUAUAUCGUAUAACUAAUAUUUAAUGUUGGUUUUACAACAUUUUAAUUCUUUUUUUGGCAAGAUAUAAGAUGAGAGAAUUAAAUUUUUAACUUCGAGCUUGAUAUAUAUAUUAUAUACAAUAUGUGAAUUGAGCUAUGCUCAUUAUUCUAUUAACAACUUUAGGCUAAGUGUGUUUGAAACCCUAACUUUACCACCUCUCUUAUUUAUUCUCUAUGAUAUAUUUAGUUCAAAGCACAAACUAGAGGACCUAGCCUAUCUCGUUGACUCUAAACACAAUUCUCGUUGCAUUCACUACGUCAUACCAACCACACAAUAGUUAUUUGUUUAGUUAACUUUAUUGAUAAAACUUUAAAUACCAUUUUAAUUUAAAGUCAUGCUUUCAACUAUAUUGAAACUUAAAUGAUUAAUUUUAAUUAUUUGGAAGAUGUAAAAUUGAUAUGACAUCAUAACACAAUUGGAGUACACUAUUUUGGUUGAAAUAAGUUGAUUAAAGUAAAUGUAUGCUGUCAAAAGGGAGUGAUUAAUUAAAAAAGAUAUGAAAGUAAGAGCUUAAUGAUUAAAUGAGAUUUAGAUUUGAUAACUAUUAUUAAAAGUCUCCAACACCAACUAGUUUUAAAUUUGUUUUUAAUGUGUUUUACUACUAUUGAAAGUGCUUUUUUCUUUUCUUCUCUUUGGUCAACAUUAACACUAUUAUCAUCCAUUGAAUCACGUGCAUGUGAGGAAGAAUCUCAAUCCAAAAGAACAAAAUUCCAAAACCCCAAAAAAGUAUUGAGAGAAAUAUUCACAUAAUAUAUAUAUUAAUUGAUAAAAAUGUAAUCAUUUCAAAACCUCAUAAUUUUGCACCACAAAAUUUUGGCAUUUGGUCAACACCAACCAAAUGAAUAUCAACACCCAAAAGAAUAUAUAACUUCCUUUUAACAAUUAUUUUAACUAAUUAUUCACAAAUAUAAAUAUAUUGAAUAUUUAAAGUUGUUUUUUUUAGCAGUUUUAGUUUAAUGUAAAAGUUUAUAUUAAUCAACCAAUAUCAUGUUUUAAAAAGAUAAUAUCUAAUAUUUUUUAAAACACAUGUGAGACAAUAUAAAGAAUGACAUCGUCAUAUUCUAAAAAAUAUAAGAAAUCAUAGAUUUAAAGCAUUACAGUCGGUAUGUUGUUAUUAUUAUGAUUUGAGAAAAAAGUAAUAGUUGUAAAAAGGAAAAAAUUCUUUGUUUUUGGACAACACAGUACGUUGGGUCCAAAUCAAUAAAUGGUUUAUACAGCUCUGUCUAUUACACACGUAACAACCAACCAUAUCAUAAAUAUUUUUUCUUACCUCUAACAAUUAUAGUGUACGUGCCUGUGGCACGUGUAAUGCCGGUGGAAACUCGAGAAACCAAUAAUAAUAAUAACAACAACAAAGGUCGAAAAAAAAUGAGGAGGAAGAAGAAAGAAAGGGGGCCAGUUGGUUUGCCUUGGGUUUCCCAGCUGGAUGUUUUUAUAAGUUUUAUAAGUUUAGUAGAUGGUGAUGGUGAGAAAUAGUCCAUUGUUUGGUACUCUACAAACAUGGAUUUGAUAGCCCUUUUUGUUUCUUUCUUUUUUCCCCAACCUCCCCUUUUCCUAUUCUAACAAUCAUUCAAUUUGUUUUCAUUCUUUUCUCUUCGUGUGUUUGUGCACACAAGGGUAUGAAUUCAAAAUUCCAAAUUGGUUGAAUUUAGAUUUGUUAGGGUUUGAGACAUUCGUCGUCUCCAUUCUAUGUAGAGUUUUGUUUUAGAAUACCUAAUGGGGCGACAAAUUAUUAGUGAACCAACUUCAUAACUUUUAUUUUUUUUCAAAUGUGCGCGCGUGAUAUUUAUCGUACAACUUGACGGUAAAGAGAUUGACCACGUUAUAAUUUGUUUAUUUUUUUUUUUGAAAAAUAAUUUUAUAAAAAGGGGAUAAAUACACCCAUCUCUUUUAAGAAUUUUUGUAAGUUUUUGGGGUUGGGUGGUCCUUGCUAAAGCUUUCUUUUUCUCUCUAUUUAUUUGGUUGUGGGAUACUUUUGAAGCAUUAAGUGGAGUAGAAUAUUCCAAAUUAGAAUCAUUGAUGCUGAGAAUAUAAUUAUGAAAUAUCUCCAAAACUAUAAGAUAUAGAAAUGUAUGUUUUUCUUUAUUUAUAUAUAUAGAUAUGGCUCAUUAGAAUCUUUUAAAACCUAGAUGGUGUACCAAAGUUUUGGAACAAUGAGUUUUGGUUUAGUAGGUUAACUGGUCAUACAUCUAAAUAUAUGAAAAAGUGAAACUAAAUUUGUGUUCAAAAUAUAUGAAAAUGGUCCAUUGACAAUAAGAGAAGCAACAAAUGAACAACGGCUAAAGAGAGAAAUUAAAAGAGAUGUAACGGCAUGGGGCUAUGUUGAUGAGGAGUGUGUGUACAUGAUAUGUAUAUAUAGAUUCAAAUUAUAUAUAUUGAUACACCUAAUUUCCCAUACUUGAUUUGCUUCUUUGUUUCCCUCUCUCACUCAUCAACCAACCAUCUCCCUACUCUUUACCCCACAAUUUUAUUAUAUUUUGAACCCACUCUCCCAUCACUAUCCCCACAAUACUUAUUCCCUUCAAUUUUUGAUAUUUCAUUUAUGUAUAUAGAUUCAAACACAUAUAGGCGAUGAUGAUUAUGCAACCCACCACCAUAAAACUUAAAUUGACAUAAAAUUGUAAUUUCAAUUUCAAAACCAAACCUUCCGUUUCUCACCCUAUAUGUUGUUAAGAAAAGAAGAAGGAGAAGAAGAAAGACAUAGGUUGUGUUCAAAUUGAUACUCUUAAUUUGUUUUAUAUAAUGUUUAAUGUUUUUUCCAAGGAUUAUGAAUAAAAUAAAAAUGGAGAAGAUUUUAUAAUACGCUUAUUAAGAACUGUAACUAUAAUGAUAUAGUAAUUUUAGAAACUAAUAUUAAAUGUAUAACAAUUCUUUAAAAAUUUGUAACUAUUACAAAAUUUAUCAAUAGGUUUAAGUUUGAUUGCUAAAAUAUUAUAUUAAUUAAUGUUUAUUUUAUUUGGAGGUAAUGAAGUCUAGAAUCCAAUAUCUACCUGGGUAAAACUAAAGAAUAAAAAGGAGUGAAUUGAAAAUUAUGGGAUGAUUAAUUAAGAAUUGUACACAAAAAAAUUGAUCUAAUUAAUUAGUAUGAAAAAUUUAAAAAGAAAAAAAAAAGUGAUAAAGUAUGGAUUUUAUUUAGGAAAGUGGGGUUAAAUUUAAAGGGAAAGAUGAAAAUUAGACGCUACGUUAUUGAUGGGUUGGAGUGGAAGAGACACUUUGCCUCGAAAAUAUGAAAUGUAAGCAAAGUUUAGGGAUUAGGGAUUAGGGUACCCUAAUCCUUCUCUUUUUCUAAAUCUCAUUCCUUGUGUAUUAAAUACCCCACCCUAAUGUCAUACUCUUACAUCAUUUAAAUAAUUGUCAAAAUUAUUAUAUGCGUUGUAUAUAACUAUUAUUGUACUAAUUAUUGAAAAUUAAUAAUAAUUAUUUAUAUAUAUUUUUUAAGGAAAAUUUUUAGGGAAGAGUUCUUUCUCUUGCCCCCAAACCCUAAUUACUUACUUGUCCAAUUUUUAGGAGUGCACGCUUGAGUGAGAGAAAGUUGUUUAACUUUGGAGAGCAAUUGACAUAUACGAUUUUGCACCAAUGUCCGACCGAAUUUUACUUUUAAGACAAUAGUUACACACGACACAACAUGAGCAACAUUUUGUUUUUCCAAUAGUAUGAUCCAUUCUUAUACUUUUAAGUUUUAUUUCAGUUUAAUACAUACACAUAUGUUCAAUUAUUUAAUACUAGAGAGUAUUUAAUUAAUUGAGCUAAUUAUUAUAGUUAGUGUUUAGGGUACAAGUUAUUUUAAUACGUGGACUUUAACUAUUUGUGUUUAAGGUGUAAACUAAUUCAUUUGUUUGGAUAGAAAUAGUAAAUAUUGAAACAAAGAAGGAAAUAGACUCACAAGUGAAAAACAAUAAAUAAUGUAGCAAAUAGUAAAGAUUGUACCAAAAAGAUUUUGAAAUAUAAUUUAUUGUACUUAAUUGUAGGUAAUAAAUAGUUAUAUACACUACUACUAUUGUACAUGUCACAAGCAUAGAGUGGGCUAUCCACCAACUUAUCGUUGAUGCUUGGGUCGACUCCUUGGUAUUUUAACCAUUAAAGUUUUCAUCUCCUUUUCUCUCUUUGAAAUCGACAAAUGAAAUUUUUAAGGUUAAAUUAUCGUCAUUUAGUUUAGUAUUUAUUUUUUAAACUUUUCUUGAGUCAAAGUUUUAUAUGCGUUGGGAAAAUUAUGCAAUUUUAGAAAAGAAAAAAUAUGCUUGGGUCUUUUUUAAUUUAGACUUAGAAUUUGAAUGAUUUUUUAAAAGGAAAUUUAGGAAUUAUAUGUGAGAAAAUCAUACUGAAUUUUAACUAGAUGGAAACCAUUGCAAUAGUUAUUGAAAUCAAACACUAAUAAGUUUAAUAAUUUAUUAUAAAUAGAUGGUCUAUAUUUUGGAAUUAUUUUUUAGUUAAAAAAAAGAAUAAUUUGAAAUGAAUUAGGGAUAUGUAAAUGUAUAGUAAAAAAAGGAAGUGAUGUGAAAUGGAAAAGAGUAAUUAAGUUGAAAGAUAGAGAAGGAGAGGAGAGGAGGGGUAAUGAAUCUGAGGUGUCAAUCACGCGUGGCAGAUACCUACCAUUUUGAUAUUACAUUUUACAAAGGGGCCCUCCACUGUUAGAAUCCCACGUGGUUUUCCUAUUAUAUAAUAUAAAGAUAGAAAAAAAGAAAAAGAAAAAGAAAAGAGUUUGUAAAUAACGUAAGGAGUUGGAAUCUACCUCGUUUUCAAGGCUUCGCAAAACUUUGUUGUAUCCACCGUUACGUCAAUUUCAUCAUACCUAUUCUUUGACCAAUCCAACCCACCAUUUCUUUUACUCUCUUUUUCUUUUUUCUACUUCUCACUACUCAUUUCAACUCUUCCAUUCUAUUAUCUUCUUCUAAACACAAAUACACAAACCAUGGACAUUCCACUCCAGAAAAAAAAAAGCUCAUAUUCACACACAUAACAACAUUCAAAUGCUUCCUUUUCAUUACUAUUUUAACUUUUUUAUUCCUAGACUUUAAUUAUAUUCAUCACAACAAGAAUGAAGUUUGGUUUUAAAGUUGGUGUUAUCAUCUUCGCCUUUGUACCAAAUUUUCUUUAACCACAUGUGUGUUUUAUGAUCAUGUCGAAUAACGUCAAAACGAUAGAUAUAGUUAUACUUUUUUGAAAAAAAUAAAAACCUUGACUUUAUCUAGUAGUAUAUAUCAUUUGAAUUUUAAAAGAAAUUUUAAUUAAAUGAAUUUGAUUUUUUUUAAUUAUAUACUAUAGAGAUUCUAAACUUAGUUUCACACAAUAUCCUUUCUCACUUACUACAUUAGUUCUUUUAUAUUGAAUUAAGAGAAUAAAUACUUUUUUCUUCUUAGUUAAGUUACAAAUUUGACCCUGAGAAAUGAGUACUCUUUACAAUUUUAAUUUGAUAAAACUUUAUUGACAGUCUUCAAGAAUUGAUAAAAUUUCUCAUUCGUGAAAAUUCUUAUAAUUAAAUAGUAAUUACAAUAAGAGUUAUCACAAAACACUACUUACUAUAUAUAUGUGUAGAACAAAAUGAACGGUAGAAAAAAAAAAAAAAAGGCAAUGCCUUUGAUGUGAAAAUCUAGAGAUCUCUAAAAAAUCCAUGUUUCGGUUUUUAGAUGUUCGAGUGUAUUAAUUCAAAACAAGAUAGAUUCUUAUAAAAUCAAUUAGUUAAGCUCUUUACAGAUUAGGCCAGCAAAAACAAAGAGAAUUUAAAUUCAUGUAAAUAAAAUAAAAUAAAUCAGUGAAAGCAAGUCAUUAUUGUUGAAUGAACAAUUUACAUUUACAUAUUUUUCUUGAAAAUCUAGAUAUAAUAUGAGCCAAAAUUAUGGUUUAUAUCAUUGAAAAAAAAACCUAUGUUGUAUGUAGACAUUUUUCUCUAUUAUUCUUUUAAUUGAAAAAAGUUCCUAAAUAUUUAAAGGAAAAAAUGUACAAUUUUUCUAAAAAAAUAUUUUAAUAUCCACGUUCUAAAAUAUUUGGAUAUCCAAUUUAAUGCUUUGAUUUAGAUUAUAUUAAUUAUUUACUCCAUAAAGUUUAAUUAAUAUCUGAAAAUAGAGUUUAAAAUUUAAAAUGAUUUUAUUAAUGAAAGUAAUUUAUUUAAGCUUCAUCAAAUUAAAGUUUAAACCCAAGUUGAUUCUUAAAAAAUAUUACUCUUAGAAAGUUUGGUUUUUAUUGGGACUGAAAUUAUUUAAAAGCAACACUAAUUUCCCAAAUAAGCCAUUUAUUGGUGAGUAAUAUAAUAAUUUGAAUUAGUUUAAUUAUGAGUUUUCUUUUCUUUUGUGCUUUUUAGAAUUAAACUCUUUUUUGGUACUCACAUGGGAUGCAUAGUAUUUAUGUUGAUCUGACAAUGAAAUUACUUGAGGAAAAAAAAAAGUGAAAGAAGAAAAGAAAAUAAAUGAACAAUAAAUAAAAAGAAGAAGUGAGUUAAAGAAGCAGUUGCCAAAUGCCACUCAUUGUCAACCCCCCCUCUCUCUCUCUCGUUCUAAACCAAAGUAAUGGUAAAAUUUAGACUAAUAAAUGAUAAAAAUAGUAUAUAAUCAAUACAAUUUAAAUAGUUAUGCAAGUUCGAGGGAACUUAAUUUUGAAAUUUUAAAAGUUUGAGACUAUACUUUUUGGGUUAAUAACAUGUGUACACAAUUUUUAAAUUAACAACUUAGAACUUUAUACUUACAAGCUUGAAAAAUUAGGGUUUAUGAUACAUAAUAUUUAAUUAAAGAGGCGGUUGCAAAUUAUAUAGCUAUCAUGCAUGGUUCAAAUAUUAAUUUGUAUAUGUACGUGUAUGUGAAAUAAUUGUGAAAUAAUUGUUAGAUAUAAGAAAUAUAUAGAUUUAGGUAUUGGAGUUUAAUUAAUAGUAAUAAAUGAUAGAGUUUGAGCAUAAAGUUUUUAAAUAUAUUUGUAAUGGUUUAAGAAUGUUUCUAUAAACUUAAUUAUUAGUGAUGAGAGUGGUUCGGAAUAAAAGUAUUAUAAAAUUUGAAAAAGAUUAAAUAGAAAUAGGAAAGGUUAGAGAGUAAGGAAAGAUGGGAAGGUUUUUUGGUUUGGGAUGGAAAAGGAGGAUUGGAUUGAAAGUAGUAAAAUCUAAAAGUGAAAUGGUUAUUACGAAAGUGGAAGAAAGAAAGAGAUGUUAGAUAGUUUUUAGUUUUUAGUUUUUAGUUUUUAGAAGGAAGAUAUAAAUUGGAGGAAGUAAUUAUUAGAAUUACAACUUAAAUUGAUUUAAUCAUAAUGUAGAAAAAGAAAGGAGAAAAGAGAAAAGAGAAAAAAAGAAGCAUUAAUUUCAGCCAUCUGCCACAUCUCCUUCUAUGUCCCACUUUCUUCCUUAGCUCUCUUUCUCCUCUGUCUUUCAAUUCUUUGCUGUAUAUAUAAGUAAUCCUUUCUCUUCCACCAUUUUUUUUCUUUUUCACUUUCUUCUUCGCCAUUGAUUCCUAUCUAAUUCUUUCUCUCUCCUUUAACAGUCCCGUUUGCAACGGGCACACACUCUGUCACCAUUUCUCUUAAAUACCUCAACUUCCCACAUUUUUCCCUUUUAUGCCUUUUUUUCCAUCUUCUCCAUUUCAAUUGACCGGAGGGGACAUUCUCUGGAUUGAUUCAUGAGGGUAAAACGGAUUCCACCACAACAAACAGAGGCAAUAUGAAGGUGAAGGAAAUGCACCCUCUGUGUUGCAUCUCGGUGGAUACUUUUGGAAUCGGACCAUGUGGUGGUGAUGGAGAUACUAGUAACUCCAAGGAUGAGGCUGCUGCGGCUUUGGCUCUCUCUAGAACCAAAAGCAUGCCCGCUAGUUUAGCGGCCUUUUCUGAUGGAUCUGAUGGGAAUGUCAUCAAACGACCAACCGGAUCCAAAUCAACUGUCGCUGGAGUUCUUCAUAAGUGGACUAAUUACGGUAAAGGGUGGAGAUCGAGAUGGUUUUUCCUUCGUAAUGGGGUGUUAUCUUAUGCAAAGAUUCGCCGACCGGAGAAUCUCAACCUUCUUGCUCCAUAUGAUGAUGUUCGGUUGAUCGGAGAGGAUUCGAGCAAUCGGAUUCCCAGGGGUGAUGAGAAAGGUGGAGGGAGACGAAAGCAUCAGAAAGCGGUGGGAGUGGUUCAUUUGAAGGUAUAAUAAAAACUUAUGAACGAAAUUGGGGAUUAGGAUCUCCAAUUUGAAAUUUUACGAUCUGGGUUUUUUUUUUUCUUUUUUCCUUUUAUUAUGAUUUGAUGAUCUGAUGAUCUGAAGCAGAGCAUCGAAUUUGCAAUGGGGUAUGCUUUUUAGGCCAUGAAUUUGGCGCUAAAUAGAGAAGAAUAGCUUACCGUUAUGGGGCAACAUUUACAUUCGAAUAACUUUUUAGCUUAGUGUUUUACCCAUUAAUGGCAUUUUAAUUUUUCUUUCUCUCUGAAAAUGUCUUUCUCCCUUUUCUCUCUCCCUCUGAGUCUGAGGCUGAGUCUGAUUUUGCCAGAUACUCAGGGGGGCAUUGAAAUCUGAGCAAAAAGGAAACGCGUGAAACCACAGGUUUAUAGCAUUGUUCGUCAUAUUUCUUCUUGCAUUUACUCUCUCUCUCUUUACUGGGUCAUCCUCUGAUGAACUUAAUUGCAAAAAUUUUCACAGUUUUCUAACUGCUUGUUCAUGUCUAGUGGGUCACAUCCACAGGUGGAUUAAUGGGUCAUUUUAGUUUUGACUGAAUGUUUAGGGUUAACGGAUGUUUGUUUCAUAUUUUUCUACACUGUUUGAAUCAUCAAUUUUUGUUGGAUUUGAAAUCUCUAACCUUUUUUUUUUUUUAAUCUCCCUCUUCUCCUUACACUCUCUGAAUUUCACCUUUUCCUUCCAUCCUUUUACUGUUUAUGAGAUUGAUUGCAUUUCAUCUCAUCUCUCUAAACAUAUUUUAUGGAUGUUUUCCAAAUCUGUACUUGCCAAUGCAAUUACUUCAGGUUUUCUCCCUCCUUUCUUUCUUUCAUUGACGCACUGUUUUUUUAUUCUUGCUUUAGCCGACAACUCAAAAAGAGAGAGAGAGAGAGAGAGCGAGCGAGAGAGAGAAAGAGAGAGAUGCCCUAUUGAAGGAAUAAAAUUUGUGUUUAUUGACACCAGUUUUUUCCUAUUACUUUUAUUCUCCCUUUUGGGUAUGACCCAUUUUUAAAGAAUUUAUUCUAAGCGAGUAACUAUUUGGCUUACUUAUGGAGUAAUCAAAAUGAAAUCACCACCAAGAAAAAAGGCAAAAAAUGUUAAACUUUUUAGGAAUUGGAUAGGUUUUGUGCUUCCUCGCAGGCUUCAGAAGAUGUUACUAGUAAUCUUGUGGGUUUUGUUUUGUGAGAGGAAAAAGUAAAAGAAUAUAAUUUGUAAUGGCUUUUGAUGUAAUGUGCCAUUUUCUAAUUUCUAAAAUUUGUUAACACAGAUUGGAUCAUUUCGAGAGAGCAAGUCGGAUGAUAGGAGGUUUUAUAUAUCCACUGCUACAAAGACUCUUCAUUUGAGAACUAAUUCAAAGAGUGAUCGAGGGGCUUGGAUUCAAGCGUUGGCUUCGAAUCGCUGCAUAUCUCCUCAAACAUCAUUGAAUUAUAAUCUCUCUUCCGUGCCAAGUGAUUUAUCAGUGUCGACGGAUAGACUGAAGAGGCGUUUAAUUGAAGAGGGAAUCAGUGAAACUCUUGUAAAUGAUUGCGAACAGAUAAUGCUCUCCGAAUUCUCCGAAAUUCAAGGGCAGCUUCAAGUUCUAUGUGAAGAACGAUAUAAUCUGCUUGACACAAUUAGGCAGUUGGAGGUAAUGUUACCUUUUGAAUCCCUUUCCACAUUGUUAGUAUCUGGUGAUUGAAGGGCGGCCAUUAUCUUUUUGGACAUUGUAUUAUAUAUCCACCAUUAUCAUCUCAGGAAUUCUCUUAUUUGGAGCAUCCCAAGGUCCAGAUACUUCGUCUAACUUUCUACAGGGAUAAUAGAUGGACUAGCAAAAAAUUGCAUAUUCAUUUACACAUCUAACUAAAGCUGAUAUCUGGUGAAAUGAUUUUUUAAGCAGAUUAUGACAUGCAACACAUGUGAAGGAUUGAUCCGUUAAUGGAUUCUGUUAAGGCAUCUUGAUAUAUUUGAUUCUAACAUAGGAAAGGAUUAAGCAUUACUUUUCUCCUCAUUAUAAGUUCACCGUUUUUGGCACAAUGGACAUGUCUUCAAUGUACAAAGUGUCCAGUUAGGAAAUGUUAAAUCAUCAAUUGAUAAAAAACCGAAGCUGAUAAGUUGUGGUUGAUUUAAUUAUAUCAACACUUCCCCUCCCUUUGAAGCUUGAAAAUUUGCAGAAGAUCUACAAAUGAAAAUUAAUAUUAAUUGGGAGGAAAGGAAAUUAUAGGGAUUUGAACACAUGAGAAUGUUAACCAAGUCCAGAAAUUGAUUCUUGGUUUGAGUUCAUAUGAUUUUUUUUGUCUAUCUAGUAUUCAUAUGUUACUCAUGAACGUGAUAGAUUUGAUGAUUAUAUUCAGGCUGCUAGUUUUGAAGGUGAAGCUUCUGGAACAAAUGAUGGCGAAUUCCAACUUGCAAAACAUGAUCUUUCCUCUGAAGAACGUGGAAAAUAUAGUGGUCCUUUCUCUUCUCUUUUCUGCUCUUUAUUUGAUUGAAAUCUUCUUUUACAUGAACCUUCUUUAUUCUUUCUCGUCUCAGUUUGUUGUGUGUGGUUGAUAUAAAGUAAUAAACUACAUGGCAAAGCUAUCAACUAGAUGAAGAUUGCAUUGGUUAAGAUUAAAUUAUAGUAUUCAUUUAUCUUGAAAGUUAUGCUGGUUGAGAUUUAAAAAACUUUCGGAUCUUGAAGAAGAAUAAAAGAACUUCUAGUUUUUCUUCAACCCUCUCCGAUCUCCCUCUCUUACUUUUGGUCCUCUCUUGGUGUAAAGAUGCCCCUCUUUCAAAAAUUUUGUACGAACAUUCUUAGGACCAGCCAGAGGAGUUUUUCUUAACCUUUAUUUUUUUGGGUAUUUCAGCACACAACGGAACUGUUUCUUAUAAGAGAUUUAAACUUUGCUGGUCUGUGUUAGCUCUGUUUUUGUUAAAAUUUUAAAAAAAGGGUUUGAUGUCUGUUGUGAUUUUAAUGUAAGAUGUGAUGUUGAAAAAUUAUGCCAGUUAAGUUGAUAGAUGUUGAGUUUACUUGUAAAUUAUGCAUUGGUGACCGUAAAAGUCUGAAUUGCGUAGUGUUACAAACUUUGUGGUUAUAAACUGAAAUCUUGUUUGAUGUGUUGUUAUGCUUGAAGAGUUGGUACAUUUAUUUACUUGUAUUUGGUUUGUAGAAUGCAGCACCACAGAAUCAGAUGAUAUCGAGAAACAAGAGUUUGAGGAGGUUUCGGACGAAGACGAAGUGUUCUUUUACGAUACCAAGGAUUCUUUCUCUGAAAAUUCUUUCAAUGAUGAAGUUGAUAGCAAUGCUGAGACAAUGCCUGCUAAAAUGCGGUUACAGAAUAAAUAUUCACACAUUCAAAGGCGAAAACAGCUUCCUGAUCCAGUGGAGAAGGAGAAACGAGUCAGCCUUUGGUCAAUGAUCAAAGACAACGUGGGAAAAGAUCUGACAAGAGUAUGCCUCCCUGUUUACUUCAAUGAACCGAUAUCGUCACUGCAGAAAUGCUUUGAAGACAUGGAGUAUUCGUAUCUAUUAGAUCAGGCAUACGAGCAAGGAAAGCAGGUGAGCUUUUACAAGAAGAUACAAGCUUCUUACAUACCUUGCUAUGCAUGGAAAUGAAAUUAGGAUUUGGAAACUUGUAUUAUGGGCAGGGAAAUAGUCUACAGAGGAUUCUCAAUGUUGCAGCAUUUGCGGUUUCGGGGUAUGCUUCGUCCGAAGGCAGGCAUUGCAAACCAUUCAAUCCCCUGUUGGGGGAAACUUAUGAAGCCGAUUUUCCAGAGAAAGGGAUUCGGUUCUUCUCUGAGAAGGUGAGUAAAUGGGAUGAAAAAUUGUACUAGAAUAUGUGAUGAGAUAAUUGUAAAAGUAAUUGGAAAACGAAUGUGUAUUCAUAUAGGUGAGCCACCAUCCAACUCUGAUAGCAUGCCACUGUGAAGGGAGAGGGUGGAAGUUUUGGGGAGAUAGCAACCUUCAGUCCAAAUUCUCAGGAAGGUCAAUUCAGCUGGACCCUCUUGGAGUACUCACACUCGAGUUUGAUGAUGGUGAAAUCUUCCAGUGGAGCAAGGUAUGUGAAUUGAUAACGACCAUAAUUUGUUUUCCUUUUCUUGAGGAUAGUUAUUUACUUGGAAGUUAGCUUUGGAGAAGACGUAGUGCUUCAUCUCAAAUAGAGAAAAUAGAUUACUCACUCAUAACCCCCUCUGGAUUCUUGGACUUUCUUGAUUUCAAAAAAUUAAUAAGAAAAAAAUAAGUUUCUAUUUAUUUUUUUUGGGUCAAGAUGAUCAUUAUUCAGUACACUAUGAUGUCGAAAAUUAAUUUUUGAUAGCUGAUCAGUAUUCAUUACAUUUUAUGAUUUCUUUUAGGUAACAACAAAUAUUUAUAAUCUCAUCCUCGGGAAAGUAUAUUGUGAUCACCAUGGAACGAUGCACAUACGUGGUAAUAGGGACUAUUCUUGCAACCUCAAGUUCAAAGAGCAAUCUUUUCUUGACCGAAAUCCUCGUCAGGUUUGAUCUAGAUCAUUGAUGGGAGUCCUCACCCUUCUCUUCGUUCUAACGAAGAAACUAACCUUCAAUAUAUACUACAUAUGUAUAGGUUCAAGGGUACGUCAAAGACGUUACCGGUGAAAAAGUAGCGACAUUGUUUGGGAAGUGGGACGACAGCAUGUAUUACAUAAAUGGCCAUGAGAACAUAAAUUCAAAGAGUUGUGAUGGCACUUUAUUGUGGAAAAGCAGUGAACCCCCACAGAAUCUGACUCGAUACAACUUGACUUCAUUUGCGAUCACUUUGAAUGAGCUGACACCAGGGCUCAAGGUAUAGACACACAUGAUAUGUGUUGAAAAAAUCAGUCAUUUAGCAUAUAUGAGCAUUUGCCUCUACCAUAUACAUACACCCUUCUUUGUGUAUCUCUAAUUGUUUUGUAUAGCUUUGUCUGAUCCUGGAUAUUUGAUCACGGAUUAAGGAGUUGCUCCCUCCCACGGAUUCUAGACUCCGACCGGAUCAACGACAUCUGGAAAAUGGCCAGUAUGAUAAAGCCAAUGCAGAGAAGCUACGGUUAGAACAGAGGCAAAGAAUUGUAUGUCAAGUUCUUCUUUUGAUCUCUUGGGUUUUUCUUCGUUAUCCACCUCUGCUUUUCUCUUGGUGAUUCAUUGUAGUUCGUCUAUUUCAGUCAAGGAAGUUACAAGAAAAUGGUUGGAAGCCGAGAUGGUUUCAGAGAGAGGGUGAAGAUGGACCCUUUCGAUAUGUCGGAGGAUAUUGGGAAGCAAGGGAAGAGAGUAAAUGGGAUGAUUGCGCAGAUAUAUUUGGGGAGUUGAAUGAGGAGGUUAUGGAGAAUUAGAAGAAUGAUAAUCAGGAUUCAGGUCAGUGUUUUCUUUCUUAAAGUUAAGAACGUCAUAACAAGAUUUCCUUUUGUAAAUAGCAUGGUACAAAAUUGUUAAGGCAGAUAACUAAUAGAUGAAAUACAAAGGAAGAAGGAAAAAGAAAAAGAAAAAAGGACUGCAAUUAACAAAAGUCAUAAACCGGGUUCUAGUAAACAGACCCUUGGUUUACUUUUUCUCGUUCUCAAAUUUUCAACCUGCACACUAACAUUCUCUUAACUUUGAAUUUUCUGGCUCUUUUUGUUUUGAUUUGGAAAAAACAAACUAAAGCAUUUGAUAUCUGCCUUUAAUUUCUUAUUAUUGAAAUGUUAAAUUACACAGGAAUAUCCAAUAAUGAUUCUGUUAUUCAAGUCUAUAAAUCUACCAUACACAUUCAUUUAUAAAGUUUUCCAAGUUUAUUAUUAUAUUUGGAUUAAAUUUUAAGUUUUGUGUUUUAACUUUUGAAGUUUGUCCGAAUUUCAAAAUGUUUAAAAGGGUCCAAAGAGCUCCUAAACUUUAAAUCUAGUAUUCAACAUAUACCUAAAAGUUCAAGAUAACGAUAUAAUUUCUCGUUAGAGGGUAAAAACAAAAUUACAUUGAAGAUAAAAACUCGAGAAAACAAAACCGCUAUUAACCAUAACAUGGGUUGACUUAGUAGUUAUUGGAACUAAAAGUGAGAGAAUUUGGUAUGAAAAAGACAGGUUCAUCCCUAAGAAAUAUACCCAUACAAGACACGGAUGUGACACAUACACAUUGACGCGUCAUAACGAAGAAAGUUCAAAAUUUAUUAUUAUUCUCAUACAUAUAUAUAGUUAGUAUACUAAAAAAGUUAUCAAUGACUCUGUGCAACUAGUUUUUAAUACACCUAUUUUGCACUAACAAAUGUUUGAAAUGUGUCUAAUUAAUAUGUAUAUGACACAAACAACGCUAGCUGAACUAAUGUGUUUAUACUUUUUAGAUUCAAAUUAUGAUGGUUACACAUUUAAAUUUAAAAUCCUUGGAAUUUAUGUACACAUUAUAUACACUUAUACAUAUAUUAAAAAUCCUUGGUUAUCAAAGAGUUGGUUGUGAGAUUAGUCAAAGGCUCUUAAGUUGGAUCAGACAUGAGUACAAAUAAGAAAAUGAAAUAGUUGUUAAACAUGUUUAAAUGUAGGUUUGAUGCAACUUUGCAGAUGUAAGGGAGGAAUGAUAAAUGAGGAUCCUCGAAACCGAUCGAUGGAACAAUGGGGAGUUGUGGCCGAUUGGAAUUGAAGAAGAUUUAUGAUCUACACAACCUCAGGGAAAGUGAUAUAGUGAUAUCUAUCUAUGGCCAUUUUUUGUUGUUGCUUACUUUGAAGGUUUACUAUUUGGGAUUAGGUCAUAGAUAGCUUGACAAGGUGUUGUCGUAAUCUCUUCCAAAUGUAAAGGGGAGAAUAGUUGAUGUAGUAAUAUUGCUUCCUCACUUCUCAUCUGAAUCUUAAUUUUUUCCCCAAAUCCCAAUAAACUAUUGCUUAUUCUUCUUCUAUAUCAUUCAUUUCUUCUGCUUCCAAUUAAAAGUAAUUAAGCAUUGUAAUAUCUAAGGCACCAAGCUCUCUUUGGAAACUAUGGUAUUAUGCAAUGGAAACUAUGGUAUUAUGCAAAACUUCUAAUUUGGCUACCCGUUUGAACAUUCGAUUGAACUUUUUGUACAUUUGUUGGCUCUAAUUUAGACGACACCAUCCUCUUUUUGGAAAGGAGUACAGAGGUUAGAGUCUUUUGCACUUUAGCUAUAUAUAAUUUAGAAAGUCUAAAGCUUUCAUAUUUAACAACUAAUAUACUUUAGAUCAAAAACUCGUUUAAAUAGGUUUUUUUUGGUCCAUCCUGACUAUGAUAAAGACCGACAAAAGUUGUUUUUAAUUUUAUGUCCCCAAUUAUAUAUUUUUAUUGUGUCUUAAUUAUUAUUUAGAUAAGUAUUUUAGAAACCCCAUCUUGGUUGGCUCAACAACGUUUUUUUAGAAGGAAAUAGUAAUUGUAGAUGGAGAUUCUAGAAUGAUGGGCUAAUUCUAUUAAUAUAGAGAUUUGUUACAAAGCAAGAAGGCUAGAGCAAAGCCUAAAAUAGCCUAAUCUAACAACGCUUUAUAAUUAAGAGAAAUUAAGCAAUGGUCAUACUGUUUACAAGUAGUACGUCGGCUAAACCGAACUCCUAUCAUAUUUUCAAGAUCUUCCCAUAAGUUUACAAUAGUUCUAGACUUAUCCUUGAAAAUUCUAUUGCUUCUUUUCAUCCACACAGUUCAUAGAAGAGCUGCUAUUGGGUUGAACUUAUAAUAUUUUUCCUGUUUGUUUCCUUGAAUCUGCCUGAGAACGUGCAUAGAGAGUUGAUGCUGUCUUUAAUAAUGUUUCCUCCAAUAGUUUUCAAAAGCUUGUCCCAAAGAGUUGUAGUGACUCUCCAAUCCAAGAGGAGGUGGUUAAUGUCCUCAUUGUUGGAGUAGCAAAGGACACAUCUGCUUGGGCUUAGACAUGAGGUUAGGUUAAUGUCCUCAUUUGUUGUCCCAGGAAAGCUGGCUCAACAACUAAUUUAGGCUCUCAAAAUAUCCUCUCUUUACACAUUUUUUAUAUUUCAUUCAACACAUUUUUUACCCACACAAAAAAAGAAGUAUUUAUCUCAAAUCUUGCCUUCACUAAAGAUGUUUGGUUUUUGACAUGCAUCCUCUUGGCUGUCGUUUAUGUAGCUUCAACCUAAACACACAUAAAUCUCAACCAAGAUUCAUGCAUAUUGCCCCUAUAUGGCUUAAAAGAAUUAAAUAUUGAGAGACAUUAUUCUCGUUGAAUUCUAAUAGUUUUAUGUAACUUUUUGUACAUUUAAUUUGUUUGCUUUUAUUCAACAUAACUUAGCACAUUUGUUUGGUUCAGUGGCAAAUGGAGGAAGAAUGAGAAAGAACAUGUAGAGGCAAUUGAAAGGUUUAAUUGUAGAUGUUGUAAUAAAGUAGGAGGAUUUUUCUGGCCAACUAUAUAGAAGAAGUGGAGUAACUUAUACUAAGUUUGAGUUAGGAAUAAGAUGUUUGUUUGAAUGUCUCUCCUUUUGUGAUUAGUAAUAAGUAAGACCUAAUUGGUUAUACCUAUGUCUUAGAUGACACUUUUAAGGUCUAAGUUAUCAAUGGUAGUGUAGAGCACUCAGAGUAUGAUACCUUCCUUUUCCAAUCCCAAUGGCCUUGAAUGCAUACCAUCAUUUUCCUUCCAUUUUAUUUUAAUUAAUUCAUGAAUGCCAUAUUAGUCUGAGUGACCUUCCUUGAGUCCUUUAUAUGACAAUGUGGUCCUACUUGAAUUGGGUGAAGAUGCAUAUAUAUGAGUUGUUUUAUAGUAUAGAGUCAAAUCUUUGAUGGAAACAUGUUAAGAGAUUUGGACGAUGGUGUUAACAUGGAGAAUGUAAAUAUUAAGGUAGAUAUUAAUGUCAAUCAUGGUUACUCACUCAUCGAUCAACAUUUGAUGACCACAAAGAUAAAAUCCACAUUCAAUAACCAUAGUGAUAGAGAAUUAUGAAAAGAGAGUAACCCGGCAAUUAACUAACAAUGAAACUUGUGUUGAUUCUAAUACAAGUGAUGAUCUAGUCACCAAUUGUAGGAAGAGAAAACGCGGGUCACAAGAACCGAUCAAUGGUCUAUUUGGGCUUUGGAAAGAUUAUGGUUUGGCCAAAAGCCCAAAUCUAACCUCCCCGUCCUUAGCUUCGGCCAAUUAUAGGGUAAGAUAAAGUCGAAGUCGACCUUCUCCAUUCGACGAAUGAAACUUUCUUUAAGCUAUUUUGGGCCUUCAAAAGAUGACGGUUGGGGUUAGUUCAAUCCGACCUCCUCAACCUAUCACUGGCCAAAUCUGAGUCUCAAAAUUUAAUGAACAACACAUGUCAAAUUCACACUCUAACUCAUUUAGUUUGGAAUAUAACCUAUUUUAUCUAGGUUUUGAAAAAUGAUCAUAUUCUAAUCCAAUCCUCGUCCGACUAAGAUAAAUCCUACAUCAAAUUCCAUAAAAAAAUAAUACAUCAUUAUGGUUUCCAUACAUGAGGCAAAGAUUUUUUUUUUUUUUUUAAUUCUCUUCACACCAUAGUUUUUUUAUAUUUGUUUCGUUGGUUUUCUCUUUUCUAAAUUACAAAUUAGGGUGCUUGUAAAAAUGCAAAAAAAAUUAUGAUAAUAGAGUCCAUGUUAUUACAUUUUCUAAAUUACAAAAGUAGCAAAAUUAAAAGCAGUUAUCCUUUUAAUAGACGUAUGAUAUCAUUAACUACUUGUCAUGCACUAUAUUCGCAAGACAAAAAAAAAAAAGGUGUUAUGCACUGUUUUUUUUCUAAAUCUUUUUUUUAUUUGAUGUAAUUUUUCUUACAAAAUUUUUCAUAGCUGUCACACAAAAAUCAAGUACGUUUUUCCUCCAUCAAAAGCAUCCAUUGUUGUAUUAAAAAAAUAAUAAUAAAGAGAGUUAAAUCUUGAAAUUUGUGAAACCAUAAACCAUUGUUUAUAAAAAUUGGAAUUAAAGAGAUGAAACAAACACAUAGAAGAUUCCAUUCACAAUCUGUAGUGUUCCCUGUCAUUGCUACAAAUAAUAAGAUAUCCUAUGCAUUAUUUAUGUGCCAUUCAUUCUUUCUCUUUAAAAUUCAAAUCAUCAUCCAAAAUUAUAUAUGUGUUUAUUGGUCUGGUCUGUCCAUUAAUGUAAUGUAAGAUAGAGGUAAUUUGAUUUCAACUUUGCUUCAGAUUGGGACACACAACAGCAUGGGAUUCACAAGAUUCCAAAAACAAAUUAAAUAUUAUCAUUAGUUAAUUGCUUAAUUUUCAAAAAAAAAUUAUACUUAAAUAAUUAUUAAUCAUAUCAUCUAAAUUAUUAUUGCACUCAACCUUAAUUAUAAGACAAGUUUAUAUAACUAAAAAAUAACUCAUCAUAAAAUUAAACCAAAUGUUUAUAGUAUUCUUCUAAAAAGAAAAAAAAGAAUGGGAAGUUUAAACUUUUGUUUAUUUGAUUUUGACUUUUAAUUUUCUAAAAUUAAUCCUAUGAAUACUAUUUUUAAAAUUUAGAAAUAUUUUUUUAACGUUUUCAAAGAAAAAAAAGUUAGCCAAUUAAAAUUUAAUCAAAUGCUACCUAAAAAGUAUAAAGAUUAUCUAACCAUGAGUUUGCUCUAAUGACUUUUAAAGAUCACCCAUUUAGUAAUAAUUUAAAACUUAGAAAAUAGGCUUAAUGGUCAUUUAAGAUGUAAUAUCUUAAACCGACACAUUUUUUAAUAUAACUAAAUAUAUUAAAAUAUUUAUAAAAUAUAAUAAAAUGUCAAAUUCUAUCGAUAAUCAAGCACUAAUAAUAGAUAAACAAACAGAAAAAAAGAAACCUAAUAGUAUAAGUUUAGUUUUAUUAACAAUUUCAAAAAAAGAAUAUAUAUAUUAUAUAUAUAAUAUAUAUAUAUUUUUUUGUUUUAAAACUUGAAAUGCCAAUCCCCAUUUUUAUAAUUUUUUGCUCAAAUUUUCAAUUUUGUUCAUGAAUAAUUUAAUUGAUUGAGGGCUAACUGGGUAAGGAUGUAUACCAAUUUCAAAUCUCAAUACAAAAUUUCAAACAAAAAUAACAACAAAUAAAAUAAAAAAUAUAUAUAUAUAUAUAUAUAUAUGAAUCUGCCCCUUCUCAAGAGGUGCAUUAAAAUAGGUAACCCUAGGCAACCAAAGCAGAUACUUCUUCCCUGGUUGAAGAUUCUAUCAAAAAUUAAUAUAUCCUUAGUUAUUAUUAUGAGAUAACUAUAUUAAAUAUUAUUGUUAUAAUUAUUUAUAUAUGGUUAGAUAAUUUGAGAGGCAAAGAGAAUGAGAUCCACAUUAUAAGGAAUUGCAAAUAACUCUCUCUUUCUCCAAAGAAUCUCACUUGAUUCAUGUGGAUCUUCCAAUUUUGAUCUUUUCCAUUUCUACUCAUUUCUAUGUACAUUAUAAUAUUAGAGAAUUGCUUUCUUUGUUGAUUUCCGAAGGAUAUUCACAUGGCCUCUCAUUAUUUCGUAUGUCUAUUCAUUUCAUCUUCAAACUCAUAAUAUAUGUUUUCACAACUAUAAUAAUGUACACGUUUUUCCUUGGAAAUGAGUUCGAUUAUCUCCCUCUUUUGUAUUUAAUUUUAAGCUUGGUCUAUGAAUCUUUCCAGUGGAAUCUAAUCAAUGAAGUUUAAAAAUAAUCUGAUUAAUUAACUUCAGUAGAACUACGAGUUUAUGGUUAGUUUAAAUAAAAAUAAGUCAUUUUAAAAAAAAAAAUGGUUAAUAUUUGGUAAUGAUUCAAAAUAACUUUUUGAAACAUUUUUAAAUUGAUAAAUUUAAUAAAAAAUAUAAAUAAAAAUGAUUUUUUUUUUUAAAAAAAUAUUUUUUCUCUAACCAAUUCAAAUUUGCAUUAGCUUAUAUGUUUUAAAAAGAUAUCAUAAUAUUUGGUUUUUAACUUUAUGUAUAACAAAGUAAAGUUAACUUUCUAAAUUUUGAUUUCAUGUUCGAACUUAGGAAAUGAUUUAGCUUUCCAAAAAAACCAUACAAGCCAAUGCCCCGAAAACCUAAGGGUUCCUCCGCAAGGUUCGUCCAAGCACUUAAAUGAAUGGAUUGUUUACUAAUGUAACACAAUGAACAAAAACAUUUAUACACAUGAAAAAUAAUAUCAAUGAUAGAUGUUGAUAAACAUUGGUAAAUAUUACUACUAUCAACCUUUAAUUAAUAGUUGCCGAUAGAUAUUGAUAGACUGAAAUUCUAAAAUUUUGCUAUAAUUUUAAAUAUUUUGAACAAUUUUGUUAAUUAAAUUUUUUUUUCAAAAUAAGUACAUAGUCACUCUAAUAUGUAAUAUAAACAUAAAACUAAUAGAGUUGUUUUCCUUUCAAAGAAAAAAAAGAGAGGAAAAACUAACUGAGGAAAACUUAAUAUAAUAUAUGCAUAGAUACACCACUUUAAAACUUAUAUUUUUUAAAUUUUUAAAAAAGAAAACAAUUAAAAUUAAAGGAUUUAUUUUAAAAAAUAAAUAGAAAUAACUUACAAACUAUUAAAUACUUGUCAAGAUGUUAUAUAUUUCUUUUUACAAUUUUCCAAAUAUUAUUAAAGCACUUAUCAAAAUAACUAAAUAUUUUAAUUUGUUAUUUUUUCAACGAAAUAAUACAUAUUACUUAAAAAUUUCAAAAUAUAAAACAAUGACCGUAACAUAAUUAACUUUAAAAGGUGGAAUGGAAUACAAUAUGUAUUUUAAUUAUAAACAAAGUUAGAAUUAGAAUCUAGAUAGAAGGUUGUUAAUUACGAUAAAUGAUUAAAUUUGCUAUAUUCGCCAAUUUAAGUUUUUGGAUCAAUUGAUGAGGUAAAACGAUACUAGAACAAGUUAUCUAGAAAAGUUUCUUUUUUUUUUUCAUUUAAUACAUAUCCAAAUUGGUGAGUCAAAGAAAGGUAAUAGAAAGUAACACCCAAAUAUUUUUGUAUUAUAUUAGAGAGAACUUCCAAAAGCGAUUCUCACUUUUUUCCUUUGGCUUGUUGGUACAUCAAAAUCAAAACUUUACAUAUAUGAACUUUACACAUUAUUAAAAAGCAAAGGGUACCACCCCAUUCAAAAGGGCUUCUAAAACUUGUAUGCUUAAAACAAAAAAUCCACACACAAAUUAAACAAAGUGAGAAAAAAGUGACAAUAUUUAUAUCAUGUGUGCAUGGGGAUUUUCAAUGGACAGUUGGUCCACAGUCCUCCAAUUCAAUCCCUUCAUCAGCCAACCUCUUUUCCUUGUACACGUACCACUUAGCACAAACCAAAAACACCAUCAAAUUCAACACACUUAAUAUUGCCAAUAGCCAAUAGAAAUCGUAAAGCUUCCCUUCAUUGAGAUUGUCUGGUAUCCAUGGCCUCCCAUGUUCAGUCACUUUCCCCACAAUUGUAACUAGCAAUGAGCUAAAGAAAAACCCUAAAGCAAGUGUGCUUAAAAACAACCCUGUGCUCAUUGUCUUCAUCCCUUUAGGGCAUUCUCUUAAGAAGAAAUCCAGUUGUCCCAUGUACGUAAACGCCUCGCCUGCAUGGCCAAAACAAUUAUUUUACAUUCUAACUUUUUAUAUAUGUUUUUUCUUAAUAAUUUACAAUGAAUUUAAAGAGGAUGAGAAUUUGUUUUUUUACCUGAUCCUACUAAUAAAAACUGCGGGGCCAACCAAAACACGCUCAAUGGCACCUCUGCAGUUGGCUUGUAUGUCAACCCAUUUUCUUCUACCACCUUCAAGCGUUUUAUUUCGGUUAGUGCCGCAGCGACCAUGGCUAUUAUCGAUAGAACCAAACCGACCCCCACACGUUGGAGUGGGCUUAGGCCUUGUGGGUUCUUCAAAAUUCUUGAUGCUAUUGGGAUGAUGAAACGGUCGUAGAUCGGGACUGUUAAGAGAAUGCUGGCCACGAAGAAGACAGUGAGGGAGGCAGCCGGAAUUUCGAAGGAUUUUCCCAUGUGUCGGUUCAUUGUGGUGGCUUGUGACACAGAGAAUGUUGUCAUUUGGGCAUAGACUGUCCAAAAAAUAAUGGUGGUUGCCCAAAUGGGUAGCAUUCUAAGCACUAAUUUUACUUCCUCAAUGUCUGUUAGGGUUGAUAUUUUCCACUUGUUUACUACAUUGCCAACUACUUCUUCAUCCUUGAUUGCAGCCUUGUCCAAAAAUCUAUACCAAAAACCAAAAUACACUGUAUCACUUAACAAAAAAUCUAUCGACAAUAGAGUUCAUCACUUAUAAAUUAUAUUUGCAAUAGGUUAGAAAUCCUAAAAGUAUUAAAGGCUCAAUGUAAUUAUCGAAUAGUAGAAGUUAAUUUCUCAUUAUUAUAUAUAGAAGGUGAUCGUGUGCUUGGAAUUUCACUAAUCUUAUCCAAAAUUGACUAAAUGAUUAUUAGAACUUGAACUAAAGUUCGAUUUUUUUAAAAAUGAGAGCCAAAAGACAUAUAAAGAAGUGCUGAAAGAACCUAAAUUAAAUAUUAUGGAAGAGUUCAAAGCACAAGAUUUAGUAUUAAUAAGUAGUAAUUAAAAGUUAAUGGUUUUUUUUUUCUUGGAAAAAGAAAGCUAGAGAUAGCUCGACAAGCAAUGUGAGAAUAUAAAUAUUGGAGAUAAAGGCCAUUUGAUUUAUUUAGAUUGUUUUUCACACAACUUGUAGAACCAAUCAAUUGAGUUUUGUAUAUGAAAUAUUAUACAUAUGAAUAUUCAUAAAAUAGAAUAAUAAUAAAAGAGAUAAAAAUUGUCGGCUAGGAUGUUUAAAUAAGAGUUGGGUGAUUGUGUCCUAACUUUUAUAAUGAUUUAAUAAUGAAUAAAAUUGUUCCAAUUUCUUGUCUAUAAAUUGAAAAAAACAAAUAUAAUAAUCUUCAAUUAUGGCUAACUUCCAAGUGUAGAAAAUGUUUUUUGUCUUAAGCUUGGUCUUCUUCCCUGUUGUAUUAGGAUCUAAUUUCAUUUUUUUUAAAGAAAAUAUAUAUAUUAAAAAGCAUAUAAUUGAUGACCAAAAGUAGAAUUUGGGAUUGGUUUUUCUUGGCCUAUGUGGUAGGAAUACGUAUUGGAAAUGGCCACAACUAUGUAAUAAUUCACAUAUUUAAUCAUUUUAGAAGUGAAUGAUUUAACUAUUUUAUCAUAUCCUUACCGACUAUAUAUAUCCUAAUAUAUUAUUAAGAGAAAGAAUCAAACCUUUGACUUUCAAGUUUAUAAUAUAUAUGUAUAUGUUUGUUGAACUAUGUUUGACACUUCAUAUCGAGUGAACUCGUAGAAAUAUAUAAAGUUUCAAUUUUUAGAAAAGGGUGUUAUUCAAUGUUGUUUUUUUAAUAUUAAUUUUCUAUAUUGAAAAUUAAUUAAAAAAUAUUAUCAUUUUAAUUUUUAAUUCUUGAUUGAAUUGUGUUUGAAAAAUGAAAAUAAUUCAACUAAUUAAAUGACGAGUGGCACAAACCUAAAUUGUUUAGUUCGAGGUAGCUUCUGCUUCUUCUUUCCAGAUCCAUCAACAGCAUCUUCAAUUUGGUACAAGGAAAAUGGAUCAGAGGGCAAAUCCAACUUUCUCUUUCUCCAUGCAGCGUAAAACACGGCGACGAUUUGCGUCAAUGGGCUACCGACCAAUUUCUUGAACCGGUAUUUACGAGUACCCAACAAGAAGGCAACCAGUCCCAACACAAUGGCACAGGCACAUAUUCCAUAUCCCCACUGCCUGCCCCAAUUGUCUUGAAUGUAAACUAGGAUUGUCACAGCUCCAAGUGACCCAAUGCUAAUGAUGAAGAAGAACCAAUUGAAGAACUUGGACAUCUUCGCUCUCUCCUCUUUGUCCGAGUCAUCAAAUUGAUCGGAACCAAAGCCCGAAACGCUCGACUUGAGGCCGCCAGUGCCAAGCGCGGUCAAGUAUAGAGCUGUGUGGAGAACUGCCAGCUGCUUGCUGUCUGCCAUAAUGCAUGGAGUGGUUGAAACUCCCGGUGAACAUUUUGGCGGUCGGAGACUUGGAAUUAUGGUGGAGAUUGUUAAGAUAGUUACACCCUAAUUAAUAAAAAAAAGUUAGAAAAAAUUAAAAUAUGUUUACCACUUAAACCUAAAAAUCUUAAAAAAUAACACUUUAAUCGUCUAAUCGAUCCAAUAAAAGUAGUAUAAUCUUACAGCUGCUUGAACCGUUGCAAAAAUCGAAAUCGUCAGAUACCUUUCACAAGAAAAAAGGAACCAAUCAGAAUAAUCAUCCAAGUAAUUUUUACCUCAAAAAAUAAAAGGUAAAAAAGAAAAAAGAAAAAGGAAACCCUAAAGUCAAAAGUCCAAAUUUUUGUUUAAAUUUAUAUUAAUUAUCUAGUUUUUAGUUUUUGAAAAUAAAUGGAUAAUUACUUCUGCUUCUCCACUUGUUGCUAACUUUUCAAAACUAAAAAAUAGUUUUAAAUUUUCUUUUUUUGAAAUUUAACUUAAAAAAAGAAAAAAAGUUACAAAAUAUUAAGACACGUUGACCAACUUUGAAAUCUUACCUCUACAUCUUUUCUAACUAAAAAAGGAAAAAUUUCACUAAAAUUAGUAUAGCGAUUGAAAAUCCAUACCCUAUUUUAAAUUUUUUAAUAAAAUAAAAAUACAAUAUAUUUGUUUUCAAAGCAUAAGACGAAAUAUACAAUUCAAAUGAAAAAGAAAGAAAAAUGUUAAUAGUGUUAUUACCGGCCGAGAAAAGUGUCGGCGACGAAACCACCAAACAGACACAGCAUAAAGGAGGUUCCGAGGAAGUUGGUGACAUUGUUGGCUGCAGUAGCAUUUCCCAGAUGCAUUGUUUCCGUCAAAUACGUCACCAAAUUCACUGCAAUCCCGAGCGUCGUAAGCCUCUCCACCGCUUCAGGUCCUGUACACAGUAAUUGUAUUCCCCUUUUUCAAACUACUGAACUCAAAAUCUUAAGUUCGAUACGUUAAAAAAGAAAAAACAAAACAGAACAUUGACCUAAAAUCAUGGCCGCAGCGACCCAGCCACCGGUUUUGGCCUUGAUGGCGGGUUUUCCGGUGUAGUCCCAAGCAUCUGGGAGAGUUUUUUCUUGAAUUGUUUCUGGGAGAACACUACUCAUGGUGAAGCUUAUGAGCUCAAGAAAUGAAAAUAAGAAGAAAUUGAUAUGGAUUAUGUAUGUGGCGCAGUGGAUGAAGAUUCUACGAGGACUUUGGAGGGUUUUAUAGUGAGAACUUCAAACGCUGACGUUUUAAUUUGGAAAUAUUCUAUUCUUAUUCUAUUGGUUGUUAUUAUAUAUAUUUAUAUGAAUAUUUUCAUUGUGUUUGAAGUUUUCAAAAUUUUCAAAAUUUGUAUUGGUUUUUGUGUUUAAUUAAUGAUAAUUUUGAGGUUUUUGUGUGGGGUUUAUACUUUAUAUGGGUUGUUUAUUCCAAUGAAACAAAAGAGAAUUAUGAUAGACAACUUAGCUUGUGAUUUAUGGGUUUUGGUAAACAAUGCGGUUUUGUUUGAGUGUAUUAAUUUAAAUAAAAAAUUUAGGGUUAAAUUAGAAUCGGUGUUUUACUUUUAUUGAGUUUCUAACUCUUAGUUUUAGUUAAAUUCAUGACUCCAAAAGUUUGUUUAUAUGACAUUUUUUUCCUUCUAAAAGAUUCAAACCUUUUGAGAGGUUCAAGAAUUAUAAAAUGGAGAACUUUAUUUAAGUAUACAUUUAAAUAUAUCACUACAAAAAAAUUAAACCUUUGGUAGAGAACCAAAAAAUAAAGCACGGAUGUAUAAUGUCAGACGAGGCGAAAAAAAUAUAUUAAAAAUAUGAUGACAUGCCUUAUCGGUUCAUUAUCUUCAUGUCAACUCAAUUAAAAAUUUUAAAAUAUAAUUUUAACAAUCCAGAAUUAGGUCAUUUUUCAAAAUGCAUAAAAAUACCUAUUUUUAUGAAUAGAGAUGAGACCCCACGGGACAUGUCCUUAAUGAGGCAAAAAAAUCGUUAUUUAGGUGAAGAAUAAGAGAGAAUGAGAGGUAAACUCUCUCAGACUAAAGAUAGAGACGAGGACAAAGAAUACCACAUUCUCCAUCUUCCGUACCACAUUUCUUUAAACGCUCAAGUAUUGAUGAUAUUGUAUGAAUAAUUUGAUAGGUUUGGACCAAUUCAAUAUGUUACGUACAAAUAGCUAAGAAACGUACUAUGAUAUUUUAUUUGAUUUAAGAGGAUUUAAAAUUUUUCAUCAGAAAUAUUCACAAAGAAAUAAACAAGCUCAAUUCACAUUAUGAAAUAAACGCUCAAUUGACAUUAUGUUUCCAAGAACAAAAACAUGUAAGAUUCAAAUCACCGUGAAUUAUACAUAAAAAUUUGAAAUGAAUCAAUUGAGAAAUAGAUAAUUAACUAUUUAAUUAAAAAAAGAUACAAAAAUGAUUUAUAGAUAUUUUUUCUAAAAUUAAUUGGAUAAUAAUUUCCUACCAAGAGAAAAUUUUACUACGAUAAACAAUGCAAUAGACGAUGUGAACAGAAACAUCGAAGCCAUCUCUAACCCUCCUAAACAAAUAGUGAAAUAGAUUACAAAAUUGAUACAGAAAAAAUAUGCUUUUAUAAGAUCACCAUUUACCAACCGUAUGGACUCAUUCUUUGAGUAAAACUAAUGACAAUUUAAAUUUUCUAGCAGUAAUAAUUUGGGUGAGAGAGUACUUUAGCAUCUUUGAACUCUUUGACAGUAACAAAUUGUUGAUAUAUAUAUAUAAAAGAUAACUAUGAUGGAUAACAAUUUUAGGAAUAUAAAUGAAGUGUACAAUAAUACUUGUGUUAAAGUUUAUUAAUAAUAUAUAUUUAUCGUUGAUAGAUUUGUAUAAUUUAUCUUUGAUAGAUCAUUGAUAGACCACUGAUGAUAUGACCUAUCAACGAUAAAAGACUAUAAUUGAUAAACUUUGCUACAUGUACAUACUUUGAUUUGAUUUAUUUGCAACUCACGGUAUAUAUUAGUGCUUGUUUGAGAUAAAAAGUUCACGAAAAAUAUCUUUAGAGUUAUUAUUCUUAUUUUUCACUCGUCAAAAUGUGGGAGAAAUAAAAAUGUCCUUUUAGGUAUUCAACCUAAUCUAAAGAUUUAAAGUUCUUAACUUUGUAAGGAAGAUAGUAAAUUAAGUCACAUGCUUACGUCGAUGACAAAAUAAAAAUAAGAUUAUCGAAAAUAAAUAUACUAAAAUAUUAUUUUGAUUUAAUAUUUAGAGUUUGUUUUAUUUUAGUUUCAAUCAUCAACUUAGAUCAAAACCAAAUGUUAACGAGAUCUUUAAUUAAUUUCUUUUAAUCCACAAAAAAAAAAAAAAAUGAAAAAAUUGCCACCACGGUAUUAAACCAUUGUAGUAAACUAAAUUUAACAUUAUAUAAAAUUUGUUUAAGAGUUCCAUUCACACCACUUGUAAGUAUUUGUGGAGGUAAUAAAAUUAUAAAAGUCCAAAUUAAAUAUACGAUCUCAUGAUUUGAUACCACGCUAAAUAGUUAUCAGCGGUGUGAGAUACCAUCUUGAGAAUUUCACGACCACUGUUAUGUCAAUCCCUAUAUCUUUUCAAUUAUACAUUAUUUAAUUUAUAUAAAAAUUAAGCUAAAAUUGUAUCAUAUACACAAUAUUUAAUUUAAUUUUUAAUUUUGGUAUCGGUUAACUUGGAAGAGUCUAAAUAGUAAAUUGGAAGUGGAUGAGGUUCUACAAAUAGAAAAUAAAAAACCGGCCGAGACGACAUAUCGACCUCACUGCUCAUCUUUCUCUUUCUCUUCCUUAAUGCAAAGGGAACGACACGUAUUUUGACUCAGUGAGUUAGGUCGGCUAAAAUUAUUAUUAUUAUAUAUUAAUUAAUAAUACACUACUACUACUUAUGAUUAUUAUUUAUAAGAAAAUGAAAAACAAUUAAUAGAUUUCCAAUAAUUUGAAAACUAAGUUGACUUUGGGGUAUAUGCACAUAUCCGCCAUUGUGUUAGUUGUUGAUCCAUUGAAAUCAUAAUAUUACAUGUGAGAGAGUGGAAUUAUUCUAAACCUACAAUUCUUUCUUAAAAAUAAACUAACAUCGUAAUCACUUAAGAAUUCUUUUUUCCUUUUUCUCAAAAUUUUUAACUCAACUUGUGCACCAUAUAAUACCAAAAAAUCUAUUGCUUUGGUGACCCAUAUCACGAAAUAUAUGUCUAGAGAAAAGAAAAAGAAAAGGAAAUAUAUUACAUUCAAAAACGUUAACCUAAUAAAUUACAAAUUUCAUGUUAGUUGAUCAUAUUGGUUAUUUUAAUUCAAUUGGUACUUUUUUAUUAAACACAUCACUAAAGAUUAAAAAUAACAAAACUUAUCAAAUAAACAAAAAAACGAUUAUUGAGUAUACAUUGUCAUAGAUUUUAAUGGAUAAGAUACUAAUACUUAAAUAAAAAAUGAUAUAAUAAAUAGAUGAAAUAUUUAAUUUUAUUAGGUCCUUAAAAAUAAGUUUUGAUGAAUAGAAGAAGUAAAUUUAAAAUCAAAAUUUAUAAAUAGAGAAUGAGAAGUAAAUUUAAUAAUAGGGAGAAUUGAAAUAAGAUAUAUAUACUUUGUGGGUAGGGGUUCAUUUGCACUCUUCACUAGGAACUUUAUUUUGCCUCUUCUUGUGUUCUCAAUUUGAGUUUACUUAUUAACACGUUUCUUCUUAUUGACUAAAAAGCAAAUUUUUAAUUGAUUAUAUAUAAAGUCCAAGUCUUUAAAUUAUAAAUUUAUUUAAUUGAAGUUAUGGUUGAAAUGUCCAUCAUUAUUCAAAAGAAAAAGAGCAUGCCAUUUAGGUUUCACAUCUAAUUUUGUGGGUUAAAAUUAUAAUAUUUAGUCCAAAUGAAAUUAAUCCAAUUCAUAUAUAAAUUUGAAGUUAAAAGUUGGAUUCUUCUUUCUUUAUAUGUACGUAUUGUAAAAAAAUAAAUUCCAAAAGUAAAUAACUACAUCUUUUGUGUUUAAGUCAUCAAAUCAAAUAUAUAAAAUAUAGUCUAGUUAAAUUAGGGUGAUGUUAACGUAUCUUUUUCCAUGUGGAGAUGUUUUGGUGCAUCUACUGAACCGUCGUAUCUUUUUCAAAAAAAGAAAAGAAUUAAGGUUAUGUCAUUAAGAAUUAUGGUAGAUUUAUCUGGAGUUAGUAUGCAUACUGAGACAUCUCAACUAGGUUGACAUUUCUUUAGCAGUACUCUUGUCAUACCUCAAAAUCAAAGAUUUGCGUUAUUUAAGUAUGGUUAACUUAAGCUUUUAUAUAUACUUUGAUCACAAUGUGUGGGGCAUUGGACUUAUCUCUAACCCUUUUUGUUUUCCCUUGCUUCAUGUACUCUUUUUUUUUUUUAUAUUAAUGAAGCGGGGAUGAUGACGGCGUGCUACAGGGGUGUCCACCAAGUGAGAUGCUCGGGUGUACCUACUGACCCAACCAUAUAUUUUUCAAAAAAAAAAAAAAAACUUAAACUUUUAUAUAUAUACUUUGAUCACAAUGUGUGGGAUGGAAGAUAGAUCAUUUGCUCUCAAAGUUGAUAGUAUAUACUCGAUAUCAGUUCAACAAUUCUCAUUUUGUCUAAGCUUUAUUAUAUAUUAAUAGUAAUCAUUUUAUUUUUACUAAAGUCUAUAUGAAAGUUAGAAAAUGUACCAUGUCUGAUUACCAAUAAACUUCCGAUUUUAAAGAGUUACGUUAGAAUGUAUAUUUACUUUCACUUUCAACAAUUUUAUGCGGUAAACACGAGAAAUAAAUAUAGAGAAUCACUUUCAACAAUAAAAAAACUACCAAUACAAUAAGAGUGCGUUUGAAUUAUCUAUGAAAUAAAAUGUUUUUCAUAAAACUUAUAUAUUUGGUUAGAUAUUUUAUAUACAUAAUUUUCUAAAAUUUUAGUUUUGAGUGUUUUCGUUUAAAUAAAUUAAUUUUUCAAUAUCAUUUUUAAAAAAUUCAUUUUGAAAAAGCUACCAAACACUUCAAAAAUUUUAACAUUUUCAAAUACCCACUCUAAAUAUAUAAAAUAUCUAAAUGUAUAUGCAAGUCUUCCCUAUGAAAAUAGGUCACUUUUUUUUAUGCAAAUUUCUUGCAAACCACAAAUAUGGUCCACAUAGAAAAAUGGAGAAAAAAACCAAAUAAAUUUCUAAACUAACAAUACAUAUAUAUGUAUGUAUAUAUUACCCUCUUUAGGUUACAAAAACAACAUCUUACCUAAUUUGAUCCCAAAUACUCUUAAUUAUCAUCUUGUUUAAGUUUACACAUUAAGAUUGUUGGGUUUGUAAAACCUAAUCCUUCCAAGAAAAAAAAGUUGAAAAAAAGACAAUAAAAUAAAAAUAAACUUUGGAAGCAUAUUCUAAUGUCUAAAACAUUGACAUCAUCGUUUUUCUAUACGCAUGUAAUUUCUAAAAGCAUUUGACAUCAUCGUUGAAAACAACCUCUCUAACACUUUUAUUUUCUCUCAUAGUUUUUCAUUAAAAAAAAUUAAACAGAAAGAAACAACAACCUUGAACAUUAAACUAAACAUCAAACUUAAGGAAAAAAAGGGUCCAUGUGAAAAAAAAGAAGAAUUUCCUUGGUAAUCUUUCAUGUCCUCCAAGAGCCACAAACCAAAAAAUUAUAAAAAGAAAAAGAGAAGGAUGAUUUAAAAAAGUCAAAGAUUGACCACCUCCAAACCAAUGGGCUCCAUUUGAUUUGGCCCUAAGAGACCACUUUUCUCAUAAUAGAAGAGAUGCAUUUUUUGAUAAAUUAAAAAAUAAAUUAAAUAAUAAGAGCUAAGGAAGCUCAUGGAGAGAAGAUUGCCACUUGUGUUUAUGAUAGUUGCCUAUUGGCUGGGAUUCUAAUUAAUUUAUUGGUGUGACACUAAUUUGAAAUUAUGAUAGCCACACACAUUCAAAAAAAAAUUCUAUUAUUUAGCAUGCACAUAUGAAAUGGGUGGCAAGUAUACUUUGUCAAAGAGAGGUGAUGAUAAGCUAUGGGUGAUCAACCUAAGAAAAACCAUUGUAUUUUAUCAUAUAUAUAUAUAUAUUUGUAUGUGGAUACCUUAUAAAAGACGUAGAAGGAAAAACAUUCGUUAUAUGAUAAAGGGUCGAUUUAGGGAGAGUUUAUAUACGACCCUUUUCAUAAACUUUACUAAAAUAAUAGUACACAACCUAACUUUUUUAACAACAUACCAAAGAUAAUAGAAUCAUAAACACAUAGAGGCAUGUCAACUAGAUUGACACACCUUAAGCAUCUUUAUCAUACUCUCCAUCUAAAAGCUAAGCAUUUCAUUUAUUAAGAUUGAAAGAAAGUAUAAAAGAAAGAACGAGAAAUAAAAGCUUAAAUCGAUAACAUGAAUAGCAAAUUAAAGAACCAAUUAGCUGGUGAUUAAAUGUUGAAUCUGUUGUAACUUUGAUAAUUUAGAGGAACAGUGGUAAGAUUUGCUUAAAAGCCACUUACAAACAUUUUGGAAGGUCACAUGAUGCUUUAGUCUUUUUUUAUUUUAUGAAAAGUUUCAAUAUGGUUUUUUUUUUUAUUAUACUUAUAAUAUCCAAUUUCAAUUUCAAUUUCAUUCCUUUUUCUUUGUUUUAUAUUAUUUCAUUGCUAUGACAUGACGUUAAUGUAAAUAGUAUUAUCAGAGCAUCCCUAGUAUAUAUAUAUAUAUAUAUCAUAAAUAAUAUUUUAAAAAACGUGAUCGAAAGUCAAAAUAACACUAAAUUAAUAAAACUUUGUAGAAGAAGAAACUACUUAUUAAUUAGGGACAAAUUUAGAAUAAUGAACGAAAGUAGAGAUGGGGUUAUAGUGUAAUAUAUUCAAUUCAAGUGGAAAAAGAAGGAGAUUCUAAAUUAAAAAAUAGCAAUGAUUGAAGAUGAACAAGUGCAUUAAAUUCAUAAAUAAUUGAGUUUCAUAAGGAGAGAGAGGAGUUUAUAGAUGGAGGGAUAAGGAGUGAUGCCUAUACAUGAUUAAUGAAGGUGUGCUGGAAAUUAGGGCAAGUCAAAUAGAGGUGGAUAAGGGUUAGGGUUACCUAAGUUUUUAUUUAAUUGUAUUUAUCAAUUUUAAAUAAAGAGCUAGCUAAUACAAAACAUGUAUUGUAGGACAACCAAAUUUUUUUCAGGGCAAUGCUGAGUAAGAGAGAGACUGUGGUAAUGUGUGAUGUAGUUGGAGAGAUCAAUAUUUAUACCUUGAUUGAACUUAUUCUCGCUUUGGCUAUUAGAUUAAAGUUUUUAAUUACUACUCACAAACUACUGUAAAAGGGAUCUCUUGUUAGUAGCAUAUAUAGUUCAAUUUGACCAUAAAACUUGAAGCUCAACAAAACAAGCACAGCGUACCUUCCAUUUUCUUCCAAAGCUUCUUUGCAGGGAGCCCUAGCUAAAAAACUAAUAGAAAUUAUCUUUUGUGUUUUCCAACUUAAUAUUUGGUUUAUGUAGUAACAGUGUACAAUGUCCUUUUUCCUCUAAAAAUAUCUUUAACUUGUCAUGAAUUAACAAUGGUUAAAAGUGAAUAAGUCUUAAAAUGGUUAGAGAAUUGAAAGAUCUAAUAACAUUUACAUUUUGAGUGGAUUAAAAAUCAAAUAAAGCUACUAGAGUUUAUGUCUAUUAGGAUGGUUUAUAUUAUCAUACCAUGCAUUAUAAAAAAUUAUGAAAGGAUUAAUAUCAUGACUAUUUCUCUCAAUGGAUAGAAGUGAUUUGAACAGCAAUUUGAUUUCUAUAUUUUUAAGUUUGAUUUAUUUUAGUUCUUGAACUUUCAAAAUAUUUAUUCUUUUGUAUUUUCAAAAUGUAGUCAAUUUUGUCCCUUCACUUCACUUUUUUUAGAUACUUAAAAUUGUCGAAUUUUAAAAUUUUAAACAACUAAAAUUAACAAUCAAAGUUGUAAUUAGUACAAGGAUUAUCAAAAUAAACAUUUUAAAAAUAUAAAAACCAAAAUAAAUAAAACUCUUUUAACAAAAAAUGUGAAUUAAAGAUCGGAACAUACACUCUCAACAUAUCUCACAACUAAAGUUUUUGACACAUGUUGAACACUCUCAACAUGCCGAUCCAUCCAAAAUUAUAUCAUGUAUAUGAAUUAAAAAAAUGUACAUGAAGGGCUAGGAAAGAGCCUCACCAAAGUCCAAUAAAAAAAAUUAGUCAAGACAUCCACAAAACAAAGGAGCAUAGAGGAUAGAGAAAAGUCUUCUAAUUUAGAUACCAUGGUUACAAACAAGAUAAAAUUUAGCAGAGCAAAGAGGCUGUCAUAUAUAAAAUGUCCUCCAAAAGGUGGUUGUAUCAUGGUAUGAGUGACAAGAAAAACUGUUGAAGGAGCCAAAUAUUUCAUAAAUAAGGCAACACCCACUAGAUUGAACCACCUGAUCCUGUUUGUAGAUGAAUAAGACAGAAUAUACAACAUGAGCUAAAAUGCUACAGCAGGAGUGAGAUAAACCAAAUAAAUCAAAAUAACGUUUAAUGUAACAAAUGGAUGGAUGGUUGAAUCCUCAACCUAUAGUAAUGAAGGUAAUACCAUCAAUAUUAUUGAAUCGAACUUACUUUGAUUCCUAAUGAAACCAAAUUUGAAUAUAUAUAGGAACCAAAAGUAGUAUUUAAACCUAUGUAUUUUUUAGAGUUGGAAGUAAAAUUAUGAUUAACACACAUGCAUGCAUAGGAAUAAUUAGGAUAGACAUAUAUAUAUAUAUAUAUAUAUCUGUAUAGGUAUGUUUUAAUAAUUUAGAUGGAGCCGAAUCUAUAGGGUAAUGUUUUUUAAGAACAAGGGUGAGUAGGAGAGAGAUUAUAUAAUAAGGUUGUAAUUUGUGACGUUUGAUAGAUAUAUACAAAAUUCCUUUGCUUUUCUUCUGCCUGUGAAGAAUAGAAAGUGUCCGGAUAUGGUUGUAAUUAUAAAAUUAGUUUUUUUUCUUUCUUCUUUCUUCUUUCUAUUUUAAAAAGAAACUUGUUUUUUUUUUCCUUUAAAAAUAAAAAGAAAUUCAAAUGUUGACUUCCAUAUAUCUUAUUAGUGAAAUAAAAGAUGUUAAAAUUAGUUUAAAGCAAAUCUAUAAACUUUGUUUUUGAAACAAAAAAGUUUUAUUUCGUUUCUAUUUUUUUGUUUUUCAUUUUUUAGAAAGUAAAACUGUUUGAUGAUCAAAUUAUGUUGGACAAUUGUUAUUGCCACAAUUAUGUUUUAUGGUUAUUAAUUUUUAAAAAAUAUUUUUCCUCCAACAAAUUUCUUUUUAACUUUUUCCCUUUCUAAAUUUUUCUCUAAAUAAAAUUCACACAUUAUUUUCCCGAAAAUAAAAUUCUUUAGUUAACCUAUCCAUUAUUUAUCUCUUUUCUUAGAUACCUCUUCUAUUUAUCUCUCUAAAAAUCAAGUUUAAUUGUCAACAUCGAGAAGAUAAUAAUAACAUCAAUAAUAAUAGAUUCUAGAAAUUUGAAGAAGAGAGAAUGAAAUCAUGAAAGAUUGCUGGAUUUAAUUCUAGAGUGAAAACGAAGUCAUAGGUUCAAAUUCGUUUUGCUCAUGGAAAGUUAUAAUAAUGUACCUAUAGAGAGAUUAAGGAUCACCUUUAAAUUCAAUUUUUGUUGAGAUGAGAUAAUUUUUUCCUUAUUCAAAUUAUAUCGGUUAGAACUAGAUGAUCUUAUUCGCUAAAUGAUAAUAGUUGAGUAUGAAUUUACUAUAUUUAAGCCUAAGUCAAACUUAAAUUUUUUAGCUUGUCAUUAUUUUGUCCAAUGUAAUUUCCCCGGCAACAUUAAUUCAAACAAUAUCUUCAAUAGUUCAAUUAUUAGCCGAUCAAUUCUUGGAGUUCAAUUUAAAAUUUUUAUUUUUCAAGGUGUGACGAAAGAGGCAUUUAAGGAUAUGCCAACUUAGUUGAAAUAUUUAUUCAAAUGUGUAUGUUUAUCCCUAGUUUUAGUAGAGAAAAAUACUUGGAAUGAGCACACAAUUCUUUUUUUAAAAAAAACUAUAGCAAAAUAAGUAUGUCAUGCAUUAUUUGGUUAUUAAUUAUCAACAAGAUUCAGAUGAAUUAGCUAUCAAUUUUGGAUGCAACCUUAGACAAUUCUGAGUUUGAACUAAAACUAUUUAAAAAUUUUACAACUUGAUAGAUAAGUAUUCAAAGUUGAAAACUAAAAUAUUAAAAAAUGUGUUAAAAUGAAUUUAUUUGGGCGUAACUCCAACCUCUUCUUCUACCUUUCAUUUCACCUACAACAGUUUUUCUUUUUAAAAAAUCUCUUACCACUCUUACUUUGUUUUAGUUUUCUCCAAUAUCUUUCAAUAUGGCAAACCCUUAUUUCAUAAGUAAUAUUUCACAAAUCUUCUCAAAUUUAAUAAUUUAUCAUUUUUAAUUUUUAGCAAAAUUUUACUACAUUUUUAACCUUUUAAUUUCCUAUCAUCUAUUAAUUUAUAAUAUUUUAAAAUAAAAAGUAUUAUUUUUUUCAAAAAAAUUGACCAUUACAUUAUUCCAUAAAUUCUCAAUAUUGCAUCAAAAAAAUACCAUGAUUUAAUUUUUGUUGUGCUUAUAUAAUUGUUCGAAAUAUAAUACGAUAUAUUAUAUAAAUUGAUAUAUAUAUAAUAAUAAUUAAAUAUAUAACAAACAUUUAUUAAAAAAUACAAAUAUAGCAAAAUCUCGCUGAUAGACUGUUAUGAUAUAUCACUGAUAGAGCAUAUUGGAAAUAUUAAUCUAUUCGUGAUAGAGACUUAUAUUAUUAACAGAUUUUUCUUGUUUGUAAUUUUUUUUGUUACUAUUUAAUUAUUUCAAUCUAAUUGGUAUAUGCUUAAUUAGCUGAAGACCAUUGAAAUUGGAUGAAGAAUUAUUGGAUAAAAAGGUCUAAACAGGCCCAAAUAAGCCUAUGCCCAAAUGAUGGCCCAAAUGCACCCAUGCACAGACCUUCGUAAAAAAAAAGCCUUUGGAAACUAAUAAAUAGAGGAACCACACCUUCAUUUAAGGAGGGGAAUUAAAGAAGGUUAGAGAAGAUGAAUAAUCGAAGACGUAGCUCAAUUCUUUAAGAUUUUGAUCCAUUGUAAAACAUCAACAACCCUGAGGUUGAUCCAACAUCGAGAUCAACAAAUUACUAUACAUCCACACAGUGUAGAAUAUACUAAACAAGUUGAAAGACCUAACCUUAAAAACAUUUGAUAAUCUGAAAGACAAAGGCCUUCGUAAAGGUGAAAGUUGAAAUCCUUUAGAAGCUAUAGGUCGAUGAUGCAUAUUGUCUCUUGAAGAAAAACAAUAACUAUUACAUUACAAUCUCAUGUGUUCUAGAGAUGAUGUGUUGUCAAAUGUAGGUGUGAAGUUUGUCUCUUAAGUGGAUAAUCUCUAUUUGAGACUAUUUAAAUUAAAUCUACAGUACUCAUACAAUAAAUAGAUUUAAUAUUUACCCAUAAGCAUAAGAGCUUACUAAAUCUUUGAGAAAAUUAUUGUAACUACAUAGGUAUCUGGUGUAGCCCCCGUCACCUUUUCAAAGACUACCCUCCUACUUAUUUAGCUCUCCUUGUUAGAGUCUUUUUCUUGGGUUUUCCUCUAGUCCUUAAUCACUUUUGUUUAUCAAUAAUAUUGGCAUCCAAUUUGGAAUUUGAUCUUUAGGUGGAUUUAUCCUCCUGUUCGUCUUGCUUGGCAAUUUGCCUCCUUUUAAAAAAUAUAAAUAUUAAUGGAUUCUAAUAAAACACUAUAAAUACUAUUGAUGUUUAGCUAUAUAUAUAAUAUAUACUAUUCUUUUUGUGCAUCCUUAUAUUUAAUACUAGCUAGGAAUGACAAACACCAACAAAGCCUAAAUGAGAUAAAGGGGAUAAUGACAAAUUUAGCAAUUAGAUUCAAAAUAAUUAAGUAUAGAGCAACAUUUUAAAAUUUUUGCAAAUAUAGCAAAAUUUGUCAAAUUCUAUCAAUGAUAUAAGUAUAUCACCGAUAAACUAAGUCCAUCAGCGAUACAAAGUCUAUUAAUAAUACAAGUACAUCAAUGAUAGUUUUGCUAUAUUUACAUUUUUUUAAAAAAUGUUGUUAUAUCCUUAAUUAUUAUUGCUAAAAUAAUACACUAAUAGUCUAAAUCCACAAAUAGUGUCGUCUAUUAAAAUUUUUCAUAAACUAGUAAAAACCACGUGUUAUCCACGUUAAAUGUUAAAUGUCAAGGUUUUGUUAAAUUUUGAAAACAAAUAUUUUUAAAAAAUAAAAUUAUAACAUUUAUUUUUUCUUAUAUUUAUAACCUACUUUUAUUUUCAUGGAGUUUUUUAGAGUUAAAAAAUAUUAUAGAAAUUGUGCUAAUAAAUUAUUUGUUUAGUAGACAUUAAGUGUUGGAAUGUACACAACCAAUCAUACAUUUUAAAUGAUAUUUUGAAAGAUGUGUAUUGUAAUUUUCCUUAUGUUCUUAUUAAAUUAUAUUUUUUCAUAAAAUAUUUUAUACAUAGUAGAAAUACAAUAUUUUCUGCAUAGUAUAAACACAAAGUAAAAUAGUAAAUUAUUAGCACAAAAAAAAAAAAUUAAAUGGAAGAAAAAUUUGUUCGAAGUAUUUGUGCCUGUUUUUUACAUAUUGCUAAUAAUAUUUUUUAUACUAAUAACUAUAUGUUAUUACUUAUCUAUUCUUUUUAAAGACAACUAAUGAUUAUGAAAUAUAAUAAAAAGACAUCCUAGAUUCAUCCGUUCAUCUUGACGUGAUAAAACAAGGACAAAGACGAAUAAGUAGUCAAAAUGCAAUUAUCAUGAGUAGCAAUUAACUGGUAUUGUCAUGAAAAAUAUAAAAUUUUAAAUAAGUUAUUAUUGAUAUUACUCUAACGAUUAUUAUGAAAAUCUCUAUUAAUUUUGCUAGCUAGUGAAUUUUGGUGCCUCAUUCUUCUCUUUUGGUUUUUAUUUUAAUGGAUUGGCUUGUACGUGACUUGAUGCUUCAAAGACGUGGUCUCAAACAUUCUCGUAUUUCUAUAUCGCUGUCCAUCAUCGCAAACUUGAAAGAAUGAUGUUUUUCAAUUAGCAUAAUAAGCUCUAUAUAGUAAAUUAAAUUUAUAGAAUAAGAAGAGAUAGAUGAAAAAUUUAUUUAUUAUUAUUGGUGUGAAGUGUCUAAUCAACAGUAGCUAAUGGAUAGUUUUGUAAGGAUAAUUUUCUUUUAAAAGCACUUUUUGAAAGAAUGAAUGAAAAUUUAAGAAGCUAGAGAUUUUUAGAAUUAGAAGGAAUAAAGUGUAAUUAAUAUCUAAUUAAUGUAUUUAGUGGUAAUUUGUUUUAAAUUUAAUCAAUAUUUAGAUUUUAAUUAUUAAUUAACUUAACAAGUGACUUUGCAAAAUUAUUUUAAAUUUUUAUUUAAUAAAUUUUUGAAAAUGAAAAAAUUGUUAUUAACGUUAUACUUACAAUUAGAACGAGUAAAACCGAGGAAAUGAUUGUUUUUGAAAUAUAUUACGUGCUAAUAUAUAUAUUUUUGUUUUAAAAAUUAUUUUAUUUGUUUGUUGUUCCCUAAUUGAUCCAUAUAUAUAUAUAGUGGAUAAAUAUUAUUUAAAUUUUACUAAUGUUGUCAUUUGUAAUAAUUAGGUUAAUUGGCUUGAUUGAAGGGAAAAAGGAAAAAAAAAGAAGUGGCCAUGCCCACGACAAACUAGAACAGAUAUUGAUAAUAAAAACAAACAAAAAUAUUGAUUCUUGUGAAUCUUCUGGCCAAAAUAAUAACAAUAUAACAAUAUCAAUAAAUAACUAUUAAUCCGAAUCUUUGCAUGCUACUUUAUUUGUGAAACACCGACACGUGCAUACUUAAUUAUUAUUAUUCCUUCAUUAUUUAUUCUCACAUCUCACAUGCUACAUUUCUUUAACCAUUUAAUUCAUCUUUUCUUUAAUAAUUCAACCUAUUAAUAUUCAUAACAACUAGCUAAUCAUCCAUUAUCAUUUCAUUACAGCUACACUUUCUUAUAAUUAAAAGAAUAGUAGAAGUCAUGUACUCAUUUUUCCAUAUUUUAUUAAAUGAAAACAUAUUACUAAUAAACCUCUAAAUGUCUCAAUAAAUAAUCAUCAUCAUGCAACUUUAUAUUAUUGGGUUUAUUUCCUAAGAACAUGGUAUAUAUGUCAUAUUUAUUGAGUGUUCUUCAAUAAUCUAAAUGAUUAUUGAAAUGUCCUCUAUAUAUAUAUAUAUUAAAAGAAAUUAAGUAGUUGUCACGUUAUGUAAUUAUAAUAUCGCAUAUUAAAUAUACUAUAUGAUUUUGAAAUAUUGAGUUGGAUCUCCCAGCUAUAUGUGACAACACGUAUAGUCUCUUGGCAUUGGAAAUCAUCCGUUCACGGGAUGAAUUUUUUCUUUUAAUAAAACAUCAUAACGUGAGUUCAAGUUAACAAGUUGAAAUUUUAGAUCUAUCAACAUUGAUAAAAACUAAAAGUUUGUUAUAUUGUGUAAAUACUUUCAAAUAUAAAUUUAGUUUUUCUCAUUUUUUAUUUUUAAAUUUUUGAAAAGUUUAAGAUGUUAAUUAAUUUUGUUUCUCAGUCUUUUGAUUAAAAAAAUAUUUUUGUCUAAAACUUUUUAUUUUGGUGUUUGAAAUAUAUUUGAUAGUGUAGGAUUUCAUUUCAAAACUAACUGUAAUGAGAGGAGAACUAUCUUAUAAGAAAUGUGAGUCUAUUUUGUUUUUUCAAUUUGAUAUUCAAUAAGAUAUUCUAAUUUUAUAAUUAAUCAAUAAAUUUGUGGGAUAUAAAAUUAAAUCGAUUGUCUUAUAAAAUUUAAAAUUUAGAGAUGUUUUUCAAAGUUUAUUGACUUAUUUUAUAUAUAUAUAUGUGUGUGUGACUCUUGAAGAUAAGAGUUUAAGAGUUGCAUAUGAUCUAUCGAUACUUGACAUACUUAUCACGAUGAUAAAAGUUUUUAAAUAUAAGAAUAAAGUCCUAUACUGACUAAUUAAAACCGUAACUUAUCAAAAAAAAAAAAAAAAACAAAUUGACUAAUAGAAGAGAAGAAAGAAAGAAAUAAUCCUCAUAAAAUAUAAGGGAGGACAAAAUUUUUAUUAAUAGAACUAUAAUAAGAUAAGAAUGUGUUGGAAAUACAUCACUCUUCAUUUCAUUAAUAUUUAUACUUUAGACUUUGCCACUCUAUUGGUCUGUAUACUUUUUCAACUUUCUAUCUUUUUCAAUUUGUCUAAACCAUGUAAUGUUAUAGGCUUUAUCUAAUAUGUUACAAAAUCGACCAAUCCACAAGCAAAGUAUACCAAAAACAUUAAAGAAUAAAGAAGCAUUCAAAAUAUUGUAAAAUUUUGACAACAUUCUUUUUCCAUACUAUUUUUUCUUUUUGUUUUUAAUAUUCAAAAGGAAGUUUUUUUAGUUGCAAGAUCUUGAUCAAGUCAAGUUUUCAAAGUUAGUUAUCUAUCUAUACACAAGAUUGUGGAGAAAUUAUAGGGUUGUCAUUCUUUUUACAACUCUUGGGACAACUCUUCCCAAGAUAUCUCAUCAUGUGAUUGUUUAUCUAACUUAUUAAAAAAACAAAACCUUUUGAUUUAAUUCAUUGUAGAGUUUUAAAGAGAGCUUCCCAUUUUACAACAAUGGUUUCAAAAGCUACUGCCUCUCUCGCUUUCCUCCUUGCCCUCAUUCUCCUCUCGUCGACUUUCGUUUCCUGUUAUGACACAUCGAACCUUAGACCUACUACACCUUCAACCAAGGCAAGAAAAAAAUGUCCGAAAAACACUCUUAAUUUUGAAAUUUGCUCGAAAUUACUCAAUGGUGAAACUAAUGCUGACAUCGAAAAGUGUCCAAAAUGUUGUAAGAUGAUGGAAGGACUUAUUGACGUUGAAGCGGCUACUUGUCUUUGCCUUGCUAUUAAAGCUAAUAUUUUGGGCAAGAAUCUCAAUAUCCCCCUCUCACUCAACUUGAUAUUGAGUGCUUGCCAUAAGAAGGUUCCAAAAGGCUUCAAAUGUUAAUUUAAUUACCAUCUUUUAUUUUGUUAGAAUAAAUGGUUAUUGGAAUAAAUGAUAAUUGUUUGUGUUUCUUCGUGAAUAGAUGCAUCAUAAGAGGAUGCAUCUCUUCAUGAAAAUUAAUAACUAAAUUAUAGAAAAAGGCAUGACUUUUCGAAUGGCCACGAAUAAGUCUAUAAAUAUGUCAUUUUCUAUUUGAUUAAAAAAAUACAUUUUUUCAUUAUCCAUAAUCUUGACGUUCGGUUGAUCCACAAAGUUUCAUUUGUUGAUCUUCUAGACAUGGUACUAUUUUUUGUAGAAAGCUGAUAUGUUCUAUUCUAGGAGACAAUUACUCUCAAAACUCAAGUACUAGGGUGAGUAAAUUUAUCUUAAGGAGACAACAUGAAUUCGUUGGACUCAGAUCUAUAAUGCAUAUAUGAGUUUUUCUUUGUUGUGAUAACAAUGUCGAUAACAUAUUUUGCAUUAUUGUUUAUUUCGGAAUGACUUGAACAAUUCUUCCUUCUUUGUAAUAACUUGAACAAUGCUCCCUUCUUCUUUAUUUGUUUUUGGGUUCAGAAGUAUAUGGGUUUUCCUAGUUUCUUUUUAAAAUAAUUUAAAUUUCAGUUGCAUUACUAUUAUUUGGGUGUCAAGGACUUAAAAGAUACAAACAAAAAAGUGAUUAAAAACCAUUCAUCCGUUAUUAUUAUUAUUUCUUUUUGUCUAAAUUAUCUUUGAACUAAUUUAUCAUUGCAAUGAGGUCAAAUAUAUAUCAUUAGAAAUUCUUUGAGGCUUCCUUAUUGCAAUUUAAAAUUUCAAAGUAUACGGUAAAAAUGAGGUUAGUUCGUUGACUAGGUAAAAUUUCUUGUAGUGAUUUAGUGGUAAUUGACAUGCAUGACUUUCGUUCCUAGGAUUAAGCUGGAGGUUCAAUUCUUGUCCCAUUAAUUAUUUUAAUAAAAAAAGAAUUAUCAAUUGAUAUAUUGUUAAUUCGUGGAUGAUAAACUUUUGAAGCAAAUUUAGAAUGAAGGAUGGUCUGAUUAUAUACUUGAAACAACUUUUUAAUGAUUACUAAUAAUAUAUUAUUACUGUUCAUGGCUCUAAAAUUUUGAUUUUGAAUUGAGUACUGAUAACUACUAUUGCAUACCAAUAUAUAACACAAUUUAGUAUUGUAUUUUUAAGGAAUGAUGAUAUACUAUGGGUACAUUAAUUAUAUUAUUUAACUUUGAAAAGCUGUUUGAAUUAGUAUGUAUAUAAACUGAACCAUAUACUUAAUAUUUUGGCAUCACAACAAUAUUAUAAUGUAUAAAAGACAAAAUCCUUUAUAUCAUUAUAUGCUUAAUUUUCUUUCUAUUUACAUAUGACAUAAACCAAUCGAUAUACAAAAUAAUAUGAAAUAUAUACAAUUGAUAUACAAAAUUAAAUGCAACUAAUUGCAUAUACAAUAUAGCAAAACCAUCUCAAAAUUUUGACAAUAAAACAAAUUAAAUUCUUUUAAAAAGAGAUACGAUUCAGAUUAGUAGAUUAGUAGAUGCAUUUAAGUAUUAUUGUAUAUCAAUAAAAAUAUAUAUUAUCCAAUUCGGUCACUAGUUGGACACUCUUUUUCUACUCCAAAAUAUAUAUUCAAUAAAAAUCAGAAAAAACUGAAUAAUGUCAAGAAGAACGGGAGAAUCUGUAUUAAAUUAAUAUAGAGUCAAUAGUUGAGGCAAUUAAAUGAAAAUUAAGAUAUACAAAGAUUAAUGUAAUUAAUUGAAAUAUUAAAUUACAUGUUUUGUCAAUAAUUAAAAUUUGAAAUUUUUGGUUCUUUUAAUGUGUAAAUUUUCAAUCUUGUCUCACAUAGAUCAAUUAACUUUUAAUUUUGUGUAUAGUGUAUUUUCGAACCAUUUAUUUUUUUAAGAAGUUAAUUGAUUUAUUAUAUAAAGUAAUUAUUUGAUUUUUAUGUGUAUAAAAUCCAAAAAAAUGGUGCCGCUUUUACAUGUUGUGUUCAAACUUCAAGCUUCUUCUAGCUGCCUUUCUACUUUUAAUUUCCAACCAUUAAUGACAUAAUUUUUUGUUCUGUGAUUUUUUUUAAAAGAAAAACAAAAAGGAUAUUUUAAUUUAAGACUAGUAUAUUACACAAAAUAAAUGAAUAAAUUAAAUAAUUGAUAUAUACAAACUAUGGAACUACAAAUGUUAGAAACAAUAAAGCGUUUUCUUUCUAUUUCCAUAUUACCGAAAAUCAGGAUCUCAAUUCUCGAGUCAACAUUUCAAGUUAGUUAUGUAUACAAAGUUCGAGGGAGGAAAAAAUGGGAAAUGCAAGUCCCCAUCUCAAAAAUGUCCAAAAUUAAGUUUGCAUAAACUUUUGAGCUUUCUAAAAUAAUUGCCACCUAAACUCAUCACACGUGCAUGGAUGAUGGAGUUAUCAUUAUUAUUUUUAAAACAAUAUAUACACUUUUAUAAAGUUUGUUCAUUCUUCUACGUCACAUUCAUUCUUCAUAUACUAAACCCUAUAAAAACCCUAAAACCCCAUCUCCAAUUCUCCCACACCAAAUCCUCAACUAAGACUACUUGGUUUCUGGUUUAAUUUCCAUUGAGUUUUAAUACAUCAAACCAUGGCUUCCAAAGCUACUGCCACUCUUGCCUUCCUCCUCGCUCUUAAUCUCUUUUUCUUCUCUCUCGUCUUUGCCCACAAUGACCGUUAUGUUUCGUCAAACCCUAAUCAUACACCUAUCCAUGAGGAUGGAAAAAAGUGCCUAAAAAAUACUCUUAAGCUUGGAGUUUGUGCAAAAUUGCUCGGUAAUCUUGUUGAUGUUACGCUCGGCAAGUCUUCAUGUUGCCCUUUGAUCCAAGGGCUUGCUGAUCUUGAUGCUGCUGUCUGUCUUUGCAGUGCUCUUAAAGCCAGUGUGUUGGGAAGCAACCUCAAUAUCCCACUCUCACUCUCCUUGAUUCUCAAUGCUUGCAAUAAGAAAGUUCCAAAUGGCUUCCAUUGCUAAACUUAGUAUCUUUUGCUUCAAUAAUUAUUUCACAAUGUUUAAUGUUUAAUUUGAGGGUAUGUGGUUUAGAAUACUUACAAUUACUAUAGCUUACUUGCUCUGUUUCCUAAAUGUUAUUUUCCUUUUUGGUUUAAGGACCAAUAUAUAUAAGUUUACCUAUUAAGGACCAAUAUAUAUAAGUUUACCUAUUAAGGACCAAUAUAUAUAAGUUUACCUAUUGGUAAUUUUAUCAGUGAGUCAAGAUUUCAUAUAAUAAGUUAGAAAAUUAAUGAUAAAGAAUAUAUAUAUAUAUAUAUAUAUAUAUAUAUAUAUAUAUAUUUCCAUAUUAUUUCCAUUUUCUUUCUCUAUAUUUUGUAUAGCUUCUUCCUAAAAGCUUGACAAUUGAUUAAUGGGCAUAUAAUCAUGUGUCUAUUUUUCAUUAUUAAUAACGUUAAUGACAAUUGGUGUGUUCCUCGAUGUGCCUCGAUGAAAAUUAAUAACGAUGUGAAAGUUUUAGUUAUGAUUGAUAAAUGAUAAUCUUGAUGUCCCUCAAUCAUAAUUGGUGUGUCCUUUGUGGGAACCACAUAAUGAAUCGUCCCUGUAUAAAACCUACUUUUAUUCAUUAUCCUUACUCUUCCUCUUUAUAUUCUCAUCUCAAAGGUAUUGUUAUAAAAUCGACAAAUAUACAUUAGAUAAACAAUCAAGUAUAAAUAAAAUCAAUUAUAAAUUUACGUGAUUCAGUAGGUUAACUAACUACGUUACCAUGCAAAGGAAGAAUAGUCAAGCUUUUUGGGUAGGUUAACUAGCUUCUUCCUACGUUACCAUCAUUAAUUAACCUUUUUGAGUUUUUUUUCUCUCUUUUUGCUGGACUCUCCGGUAUCAUCUUAUUUGGCAUCGACAUUUCUUGUUGAGUUUGAAAUUAAAACAACAAAAGCACUAUGUCGUUAAUAUCAAGCUAAUUGAGAUGUUCAAGUGCACCUUUUGAUCCCUACGUACUUAUUAAAAGAAAUAGGUAUUUUCACACAAUCGAUGAUAUAAAAAUAUAAAAAUUUAGUUGGGAUAAUUCAGUAAAAGUGAUCUUAAAAAAUUUGCAAAAAAUGGGGACUUAAGCCCAGGCCUGCAGGAGGUGAAAAAUAAAUUUACUGGUGGGUUAACUAAUCAAACAUGAUACUAUUUUUGUUAUAUAUAUAAAGAGUGAGGAAGGGUGUUUGAUUUCCACGAUGAUUUACCUAUUUCACUGGACAACUUCAUUUACAAGAUGAUCCAUCUACACAAAAGCUCUAAAGGAAAAGUUCCGUGGUACAGUCUUAUAAGUCGUUCGAAAGGCUAAGAAAUACACCUCAAAAUUGUGGGAUGAGAUCAUUUCUCUUGUAGCCUUUUUCAUAUAUGGUGUACAAAAAUUAAUUUUUUAAAUUAUGGUGUCAUUUCUAUGGUUCUAAAUUAUUGGAAGGUUUUCAUCAUAAAGUUUGAGCUCAGUGAAUUAGCUUAUGUAUCUUAUAAUUUCAGUGUGACAUCCUCCACACUACGAAUAUAUAUAUGUGUGUAAGAUUUUAUCGUGUUUCAUGUAAAACAAAAGAGAAAAUAUUAUCCUUUAUUGGCUCUAAGUUUUGAUCAAUUAGUUUUUGUUUCGGUUCAAAAUUUUUUAAAAUUAACUUUUUGCCUCUCAAUUUUUAAUUUAUUCCCUAUUUGAUUGGCUAUAAGUUAUGUCAAUAUUUUAAAUAGUACUAAAAGAGAUGUACAUUCAAAAUAUUAUAUUUUUGUCUUGUGUUUUGCUUCCAAUUCAGCUUCUAAAUUAAGAUUAGCACCUUUUAUAGUUAAUUGUUCACUAAAUAUUAGUCGUAUUCUUUUUUCUAAAAAAAAAUCACUAAAUAUUCUUUUGUGUAGAAGGUUAAUUAAUUUUUGCUAGAUGUUAAAAGAACUAAGUCUAAUUAGGUUACUUUCAUUCAUUUCUCAUUAUUGAUAAAAUUAGAGUGUGAUUGAGCCGUCGAAUAAACUUCUCUGAGUGAUAUUUGAAUAUCCUUAGAAUUUCUCUUAUUCAUAUGUGAUCCCAUUAAUUAAUAUUUAUGUACCUCCGGUGUCGCACAACUAUACUUUUCUCAUCACGGAAGGUGUAUAAAUAAGUAUGAUAAUUAUGCUUAAAAAAUUCUUACUAAAUAGAAAAAAACAAUUGUAGAUAAGAAUGAUAAAUAGAAAGAGAAUACGAUUAUUGCCGAAACGUGUCUACUAGAAAUAAAAUUAGUUAUUAUAGUUAUUGGUAAAAUCAUCCUGAGAUUCUAUAGAGAAACGGUAAAUGCAUGAAUUCUAAAAAAAAAAAAAAAAAAGAAAACUGUGUGUGCUUGAGAAAUACAUAUAUAGUUCUUUUAUUGAGACGUAGGAUCUGUAGUAGAGAUGUUCGGAUACACCUACUUAUCUAUGUAUCUUUUCAAACAAAAAUUUAUACAUCAAUCUAUUUUUUUUCGUGAUUUGCUCCCAACGAAAGGGAAUAUCAGUUAGUUUGUAAUUAUAUAUAUAGUAGUGCUUAUUUCUCGGUAACAAUUUUAAAUUGAAACACUUUCCACCAGCUUAUUCCUUAUACAUUUUCCCACAGCAUGAACCUUUCGUAUCUUAUUCAAAAAAAGCAUUGAACCUUUGCUUUUGUAUCUUUGUUCAAAUAGAAAUGAAAACAAUUAUUGUUGGUAGGUAUUUACAAAACCCCCACCUACAAGACAAUUUGUGAUCCCCUAUUGAGCUUUAGAUCAGAGCACAUGACUUCCAAUUGCAAAUAUACACUCACAAGGAUAUAAUUAGAGAGACAAAAGGUUAAAAAAAGUGUAUUUCUAUCUCGUUCAGAAAUGUCCAAAACUUUGCAUAAAAUUUUGAGAUUUAAUCGUCAAACUUGCCAGCUAAAAUCUCAAGAGACCACACAUGGAUCACCCAAAUAAUCAUAAUAUAUCAUAGAAUAUAAUUAUUGUUACCAUCUUAUUUAAUUCAAUUUCCACAAAUGAUAUCAUCUCUUCCAUCCUCACCCUCUCCCUCCCCUUCCCUAAACCCUAUAAAACCCCACCCAAUCUCCCCUUUCUCCCACCACCAAUCGCUCCAAAUCCUUCCAACUUUCAAGAGAGAUCCAUCUUGGAAAAAGAAAAAAACAAAAACCCUAAUGGCUUCCAAGGCUACAGCCUCACUUGCUUUCCUCCUCUCUCUCAAUCUCCUAUUCUUCACCUUUGUCUCAGCAUGUGAUAAUUGCUAUGUCCCUGCCCCACCCAAGCCCAAGCCAUGCCCUCCUACUAAACCAAACCCUCCAUCUAACUAUGGAAAGUGUCCUAAGGAUGCCCUUAAAAUCGGUGUCUGCGCCAAGCUUCUUGGCGGCCUCGUCGACCUCACCAUCGGCAAGCCCCCAGUGACCCCAUGCUGCACCUUGGUUCAUGGUCUUGCUGAUCUUGAAGCCGCUGUCUGCCUUUGCACUGCCAUUAAAGCUAGCGUUCUGGGGAACAAGAUUAAAAUCCCACUCCACCUUAGCUUGCUCCUUAACGUUUGCAACAAGAAUCUUCCCAAUGGAUUCCAAUGCUGAUUUUAAUUCAGUAUUUCCGUAUUUUUGAAUUCUUGAAUGUUUUGAUGUCUUGUGGUUCUAUGUUGUGUUAAUUUAAUUAUUACCAUUUAUUCUGGGUUGUAGAAUUGGUUUCAUUGGUUGUUUUUCUUUUAAAUAGUUCUUUGAUCAAUAAAGUUUUAAUCUUUUUCCAAAAAAUUGGUGGAUUCAAUUACUGAUUGUUGUCUUGUAAAUUUCUACAUUUCUACAGCUUUUAAACACGCAAAGCCAAUAAGUUGUGCACCAAAGUAAACUUCUAGCUAGUUUAACUGUAGUAUUAAAUUUUGAUUGAUAGACGGAUAUCUUUUUUAAAAGGGGUGCAACACGAGGACUUCCCAAGUGGUCACCCAACUUAGUACUACUCUCGUCGAAGCACGCUUAACUGUGGAGUUCUGAUGGGAUCUGAUGGGAUCUGGUGCAUUAGUGCUGGUAUGAUCGUAUCCAUAUUCAUAUUUUCACGUUUUUAUGAUUAAAGAGUGAAUUGAUAUUUUCCUUUUAUAGAUAUUUUCAUCAAUAUUUUUGUAAAAUUAACACGUCGGUAUUUCCAUUAAAAUCUCGACAAUUUAAACAUUAUGUUUGACAAAUAAUUAUUAAAAUUCGGUUAGUGUAUUCCUUAGAAAAAUAAACUCAGAAAAAAAAAACUAUCGCUGGAAGGUAAACAUAGUUUGUAUAAUUGUGGUUAUCAAAUAAUAUUUAGUUCAUUCCUAAUUAUAAUUGUAUGCGAAGAUAUGUCAACCUAGUUAUGAUAUAUCUAAAUGGACCUCUUGCUCUUGAUCCAUAUUCCUUUUAAGUAUGUAUCAUCGUGAUUGAACUGAGAACAAAGAUUUAAUGUUAUAGUUAUUGCAUAUUCCUUUUAAGUAUGGAUCAUCGUGAUUGAACUGAGAACAAAGAUUUAAUGUUAUAGUUAUUGCUUUUGAAAAAAGAUUUAUGGCUCACUUUGACAAUUCAAACCCAUAUCCAACAAUUUAUUCAUUCUAUAUAUUCAAAAUCGCGUUGCACCAUUUCAAACUAUGUUAUUGACAACUUAUCUCAAUUUGAGUGUAUACUAAUAACUAUCAAAUUCGUUAUAAGUUUUGAGACUAACAAAAGCGAAGUGAAGACACAGUUAUACAAGGAGACACUAGUUUGAAAUUGUAGUUAUGCCCAAAUUUGAUUUUAAUUAAUUUCUUUUUUGACGUUAACUUUUUUUUUAGCUAUUAGGUAAUUCAAUCAAUUUUCUUUUACUACAAAACAUAAAUUAAUCAACCAGAAAAAAUCUUCAGCGAAUUGAAAAUUGAAAUAUAUCGAGUAUGAUAUACUUUUCGAAAAUAAUUCAUUAGACAAAAGAGGGAUCAAAGGUGCACUAAGACAUCUCAACUAACGAUAUAAAAAAUGCAAGCCACUUAAGCGAUAUAGAAGUAAGGUUAUUAAUUAAGUGAACUUUUGGAGAUGAAAGAGCAGCAAGAUUAAGAAUAUCUUCCCAAAUGUGACUGGAAGAUUUUCUACCACUUUUUAAAGUACGAUCAUUUCGCUCCAACGAUAAGCCCCACAACGAAGAAGCUCCAAUAAGGCAACCAAAUAAAGUGUUCCUCUGUGGUGUGUUAUAUUUAAGUUGAUGAAGUUUAAGAAGGACAUCCAAAGAAGAGGGAAGGAUAUUACCAGCAUCCAACAACAUGUAAAAGCAACACCAAAUAUCAUGAAAAUAAUUGCAAGAAAUGAAUAAGUGGUCAAGAGUUUCACAGUGACUCUUGCAAAGGACAUCAAUUUAGAUUGAGAUUGAGAGAGGGAAAUCUGAGUUGCCAUUUGUGGAUGGUGUUAAUAUCUUCAUGUAACAGAGCCCAAUUAAUGAAGAUUUUACAUUUUUUUGGAUAGAUUAUUACUUCAGACCGACCUGACAUUAAAAAAUAAUGUUGACAUUACCCGUUCUUGGCAUAAGAUAGCCUUCAAAGAGCUAAAAGAAAAAGCACCAUUUGACGUCAGGGACCAAGUAAGAAUAUCGGAGCAAUUCUAUUAUUCAAUGGAAGUUGGCCAAGCAUAAAAAAUGGAAGUUCCAGUCACCUGCUUUCUAUCCAAUAAUUGCCUUCUAAAGUUUGGAAGCCACCUCAAUAAAAUGGGUAUUUCACGCCUCAUGUACCGUGAUAUCUUUCUUGUCAGAGAUAACAUAAACAUGAGUGAAUUUUUGUUUUAGAAUACUAUUAUUAGAGGUCCAAUUCUUAAACCAUUAUCACAUUAGUUGAUCUAUACUUACUAAGAUAUCAUUAUGUGGGUGCAGUUGUUGAUUCUUUUUUUUCUUCUUGAUCUAGUUCGAGAGAUUAAUAAAUGCACCAAGUCAGGUUAACUAGAGUUUGACACAACCUUACUUCCCUCAUUAUAUCUCGAAACUAAUAGGGAUACAUUACUGUUCAAUCAAAACUAAAAAUUGUUUAUUUUAUUUUAGCGGUCAAUCAGACACCCGUAAAAAUGGUUGAUGAUGACAUCUAUUGAUUUUAAUUUAAAAUUAAAGAUGUGUUGGUCACUCUAUAUUGUCUCAGGCACGAGACAAUAUACUUCAUCUAUAUAUAUCUAUAUAUAUAUAUACUUACAUCUAAUUUAAAAUUGAAUUCUUAUAAAAGUCGUGCUAUUAAAUAUUAACAACUUUUAAUUUACUUCACACUACACCACUAUUAACAUUUAAGUUUUCAAUUCACUCGCGAAAUUUCAGAUAUCCCAACGCUGCUUUAACCCGUAUGGAGAAAAGGUGUUAAGAAAUAGGGUAUCUACAAACACCUAACAUAAUGUGUCAGCAUGAAGAGAGGCAAACUUCCGAUGCAGUAGCAAAGACGUCGGGAAAGCAUGGGCUACAUCCGAUGUCAUGCAUGCAUGAAUUGACAGAAAAUAAUCAUUUAAAUAAUGAUUGUGUUUAUCCCGACUCUAUGCAUGUAUGCAUUGGGAUUUGUAGGGCUACUCCUGACGUCGUACAUGCAUCCGUUGGCAGAAAAAAAAAUCAUUUUAAUAAUGAGUAUUAUGUUUAUCCUAACACCACGCAUAUGUGCGUUAGGAUUUGGAUGGGACCCUCCUGACGAAUGCUUUGGGAGUAGUUGGGAACUCCCAACGCGUAUCGUGGUGUGUCAGAAGUUUUCUCUUUAAAAACUCUCUUCCAGAUCUAGAAGAGAAAAGGAGAAGAUCAGAGAAGAACGAGAAAGUGCGCGAGAAUAGAAACGACCACCACCCGCCGCCCUAUGCCAUUGUUGUUCGUUGUGCCUCGGUCGUCGCCUUCUUCUUCAAUAACUAUAGAUUUUUGUUUUGUUUUUUUCCUCUUUAUUAUUUUUGAUUAACUUAAUAAAAUAAAAUUAGAUUUGCUUCUUGUAAUCAUCUGGUUGAUGAUAUUUGUGUUUGAUGCUUGACAAAUUUAGGUAGAUUUUUAAUUUUGCCCUAAAAUAACUUUGAAGGUUAAAAUCUCCCAAAAAUCACAUUGUUUUGUCGUGGAAUGUUGCAACUACACUUGAAAACUACAAUGUGCUUCAAAUUUUAGCAUGUUUGAAGAUCCUCGAAAUGAAUUUGGAAGCCACAAUGUGUAUUUGUUGCAAAACUAUAUUGCAAAAUAUGUCAAAUAAUGGUAUUUGUUCCAUGUUAUUAAUUUCAACAAUUUUGCUUAGAAUCUUGGUCUAUAUUGCAAAAUAGAGUACAUGAUAAUAUUUGUUCCAUGUUAUUAAUUUCAACAAUUUUACUCUACUAUUGGGCGUUGAGAAGUUUCAUAGUUUAAUUAAUUCCAUUGAUUUUAUUUCUUAAGAUAGUUGAAUCAAUUGACUUUCAUGUUUAAUUCCAAGUUACUAAGUGUAUUUUAAGAGUGACUCUAGAGUUGUAUCACUCUUACAGAGAUGGAGUGUCCCUAUUUAAUUUUAAGAUCCUAUGAGUGUUUGGAUUGAUUUUUGAAGUGUUUAAUUUUUAAAAUAAUUUAUUUUAAGGUAAAUUGUGGUGUUUGACACGGGUUUAAAAUAAUUUUUAGAAAAAUGAGAUUAUGAAAUAAAUCAUUCUAUAGAAAAUUACACAUGCAACCAAAUUUUAGAAUAAAUGUUUGUUUGGUGUUUGACGAUGAAUCUUUCCCAAAUAUCUAUUUUUCUUCAUCUAUUUUUUCUAUUCCUUUUUACUAUCUAUUUUUCAUUCUGUCGUCUUUUUUUAAUUUUUUAAAAAUAUUUUAAAUAUUUUUUCAACGUGUGUUCAUAUACAUUUAAAUAUAUAUAGGGAUUUACAAAUGUUUCGCCUUAACAUCUGUAAAAGAAAUCAUGAGAACGUCAAUGAAGAACAUGAUCGUUCGGUUCGUAAAAUGAAGAUGAAUGAAGAACGUGAUCGAAUUGAAUAUUUUUUUGUCUAGUUGAUAUUAUAUUGUCUUGAAAAAAUUAUUUAUCUUAUCUAUAUUCUGUUGAUGGAAAUCAAUUGUUUUUUUUUUUAUGGUUAUCUAUUUACAUUUGAUAUUUGUGCUUCUAAAAUUGAAUUGUCCAAAAAACAUUAAUACAAAAAAAAAUGAAAUUAACGUUUAGUUUCAAGUAACACUAAACAAUUAAUAAUUACAUGAUAACGUGUGAUUAGUUUUAAAAUAUAUUUAUAAAAAAAGAUUCAAAAUGUAUGUAUUAUGAAAUUAGUUCAUAAUGUUUAAUAGUCUUUUAUGUAAUUUAACUAAAUAUAAACAUGGUUAGUAUAGGAGAAACCAAACACAAUUUGCAUAUAAACAUUUAUAAAAAGGUCGAACCAAAUAUGUAAGUGUUUAGAUUUUAAACUCAUACAAAAAGGAUUUUUAAAAAAAUGUAUUCUUAAAAAAAUAUUUUAUUUUAUACACAAUCCAAACGGACGCUAAGUCUUUUUCCAUAAACUAUUUUUCUCUCUAUUUAGAUUAUUGAAUGAUCAAAUCUAUUAAAUCUUUUAGGUCUUUAACGAUGAACAAGAAUUAGAUCCAACUUAAAAAUAAAUUGCAUUAUAUAAAGACAUUGGCGUUGAGGUUGUUCUUACUCUCAACGCCAUAAUAAUCGCGUCAGGAGUUCCCUACUCCUUACACCCAUUCAUAACAGCGUUGGAAAAUCGUCUUCCAACAAUUCUAUAUGUAUUGGAAGAUCCUUUUUCAACACAUUUUAAUAUAUAUGUUGAGGAUGUUAUAUGUGAAGAGAGCUAUUAUUUCUUGUUCCAUUAGCAAUAUUAUUUUGUGAAGUCUCUUUGGAAUUUGUGGAAGUAUAUAAUACUCUCGUAUGUGUACACCACUCCCACUAACAUGCAAUAAUUAUAAACAUAAAUUAAUACUUUGUCACCCUAGCUUUGAAAUUGAAAUCAAGAUUCCUGUGAAUAUAAAUGAAAUUUAAAAGAUAAUAAGUAAUAUAAUGUAAUAUCAUAAUAAUGAUAUAAUGUACUAUGAUCCCAUAAAUAAGAGAAAUGUUAACAUGUCCUAGGAAACUUGACGACCACAUUUUACAUAUAAUUGUCACUAAUUGCUUAUAAUUAUUUAAUGUUUACAAUUAUUUUAUUGUCACUAAAAGUCUUAUUAUGACAUUUUUUUUAAAUAGUCCAUGAUUCUAUCAUAUCUUGAUAUGAUAGGGGUAGUUUUUAAAUAUCAUAAUAUAUGUUAAAAUUUAUCAUUGAUAAAUUAGAAGUAGAUUGAUGAUAUAUAAAAGUUUAUUAUUGAUUAUAGACUUUGUUAUAUAUUUACAAUUAAUUUUGUUAAAAUAUUGUUAUACAUUUAAUUAUUAUUCUUAAAAUUUUUACACAUACAAUUACCUAAUAAAUAAGAUGAUGUUUUAUCUCAAAAUUAGUUGAAUUUAAAAUGAAAUCUCAUGUUAAUAUAUUUUUAGUUGUUGGGACUUGUAUGUAUGUUUCACAUGUCUUAUAAAAAAUAUGUGUGAACUUUAUUACAAUAUUAUACUCUUUUGGUUUUGUAUAAUAAUACUCCAUAUUUACACCACUUCCACUAACAUUCAAAAUUUUCAAUAAGAAACAACAUAUAUAUAUAUAUAUAUAGAUUAAUAAUUUCCACCAACCAUUCAAAUUGAGUUUAAAAUUUUAAAUAAAUAGAAUAAAACGACAAAAUAUUUACACCGUAUUAGAACAAUUUCAAAAAUAGAAAAAAGUCUCAAUUAAUUGGCAUCCAACGCGUAAUAUAUUUGAAAAACCGUCAUCUAGUAUUUGCAAAACGAUCAUUUAGAUUUGAUUAUUCUUUUCUAGACAAUCGUUUAGAUUUGAUUGUUUAAAUUUGAGUUACCAAAUCUGAAUGAGUUUUUUUAAAGAUUCGUUAAGAUUGUUUGGUACCCUUAAAUUUGGCUAUACACGAUCAUUUAGAUUUGGCUAUCCAAUAUUCUAACGAUUGUUUGUACUUGCUUUGGGCUUGUCUCUAGCCCUUUGGCUUUGUUUGGGUUGUUCUCUUUGCUUCUCGUGUACUUGAUUUUCUAUAUUAAUGAAGCGGAGAUGAUGAGGGUACUAAGGGGAUGUCCACCUAGUGGAGAUGUCCGGGUGCAUCUACUGACCCAUCAUAUCGUAUCCUUCAUCAAAAAAAGAUAUUCCAACAAUUUUUUUCAUGAUCUAAACAACCAAAUAACAUUUUUUUAAAAAAAAAUCUUAUAUAUUAAUACAUGAUUUUGAACCAAAUAACGGUUUGAAAAAAAUAGAAAAUAAAAAAAUUGGAGAAAAAGAAAAAAAAAAUUGAAGGGAAAAAGAAAGACGAUGAUAGAAAAAAAGAAUAAUAUUACAGAUUAUAAAGAAGAGAGAAUAAAGAAUGAUGCAGAUAAAAAAUAUAUAAAACUAGACAUAAAUAAAUGGAAAUGAAGAUGAAAAAAUGGGGAAUAAGAGAAAGAAUCGAAAUUAAAAGAUCUUUAUAAACUAGUAAAGACAAAUAACCUUGACGAGCUUUUGUUGAAUGGUUGUAAUUGCCCUAAAUAUUUUUCUAUUUUAUUAUAUUUAUGAAAUUUCCCAAAUAAUUAUGUGGCAAUAUUUAUUGUAAGUACUUUAUUAUUUUGUACAGCUCUCCAUAUAUCAUUACACCACUCCCACUUAUAUGAAAGUUUACACAAUGAGAAGAAUAAAUUAAUAUUUUGUUCAAAUUCAAUUUAAGAUUCCCAAUUAUGAGAUUAUAUAUAUAAAAAAAAUAUUUAGUCCAAGAUUCUCAUAUAUAUAUAUAUAUAUAUAUAUAUAUAUAAUUAUGAAAAUAAUAACAAUGUAAAAUAAUAACUGCAAUGAGAUUGUAUAUUGGUAAAAAAAAGACGGUGCCUUAAAAAUGCAAGUUCUUCGUUUGGACAGUCAUCCAUGAAAAAAUCAACACAAUGGAUGUUAUCUAAAAGAAAAUAAAAAACUUCUGCCUGCUAAACCCAAACCGUUGUGUGCAUUACAAAUCCAACAGUAAAGACAUAUACCACUUAUUCAUUGACUGCCAAGUUUCAAAGGCCCUUUAGGAUAAACUACUAUCCCACAUUGGAUUAAACUUUGAUAGAGAGAGCACCAAAUCUUUUCUCUUUAUUCAUAUGCAAACUCAAGCAAACAGACAGAAAAAACACUAUCAGAUUCAAUGCCGGAGCGGCCCUUCUAUGUACGAUCUGGGUGGAAAGAAACAAUCAAAUCUUUAGAGAAAUCAAAAGAAGCACUGUGAACAUAUGGAAAGACGUUGGCCAAUCUGAUCGGUCUAUGGUUCAACAGGCAUAAAUCUUGUAGAACACUAUGACCCUUGCAGUAUUUCACUAAAUUAUAGAGCUUUAUUAAACUAAAAUAGGAUGUAUAGCCUUAGCUCUGGCCUUCCUUUCAUGUAACUCUGCUCUAUGUAAUUAUAUUUUGUGCUCAGUAUUAUAGGAUAUGCACUUUCUAUAUACACCUAGACUUACGGAAACACAUUGUUGCCAACUUUUGUAACGCAAAUAUAAAGUAGCGGAAACAACUUAUUAGAAACAAAAUCUAACCCAAUCUAUCAAAUCCUAGGAAAGACAUCUUUUGAUCUACUCCUAUGCUAAAAACGUUAAACUUCAUUGCCUUAGAGCCAUCCAUGAUCUUUUUAUUUGAAACUGACUGCAUUUUAGAAAGAUUUCCAAAAGAUGAGUACAAGUACUCCAUAAGCAAUUUCCACAUCAAGAUUUGAAAUUCAUUGUCUCAAAAGUUUUGUAAAUCAUAAAAUAAAUCAUUCUAGAACUUUUAGUCAAACUUUACUAAAAAAACCAUAUUUUCAAAACCAAAACUUUCGAGCAAAAACUUUUUUUUGAGACUAUUUCAAGAAAAAACUCUAAGGAUAGUAAUCUAUAGGUAGAUUUCCACCUGGGAAUCUUAAAUUGAAUUUGAAAGCUAGUGGCAAAAUAAUAGUUUAUUUUUCUCAUUUGAAAACUUUCAUAUUAAUGGGAGUGGUGUAUUCGUGGAGAAUUGUUCAAAAUAGAAAAGAACAUGGCCAUAUUGCAAACAUAAUAUAUAUAAUUUGGAAUCCUGAACUCUCAAUUUCGACGCUUGAUGGAAAUUAUUAACAUAUGUUGUUUCUAAUUGAAAACUUUCAAUGUUAGUGGAAAUGGUGUACAUAUGGGCUAUUAUAUAAAACCAAAAGAGUAUAAUAUUUGCUCAUAGAGUUUAAACACACAAAUUUUUAAUUAGACAUGCGAAACAUAUGUAUUUUCUUUAAGCACUAAUAAAAUUUAAUUUAGAGAUUUUCUCUUUUAAUGUAUAUGUUUAGUUCUCCAUUCAUCUAUACUACUUAUAUUUGCCAUAUAUCAUGCCAGAUUAUUGGAUAAAUGUCACAUUACCACUAAACGUAUUUUAAUUUCAAAUAUUACAAUGUAAUUAAACUAUUGAAUAGAAGAAAAUAAAUAAUAACAACAACAAUAAUAAUGUAGUAGAAAGUACUUUUUGAACUAGAGAUUCCAUUUAUGCUAAUACUAUAUAACAUAGUAAAUUGUGUUACCAUAUAUUGAAGAAUCUAAUUUUUUUAUUAAAAAAAACAUGCAUUUUCUUGUUAUUUCCAUAAAAAAAAAAUCAAGUCGCACCCGAAGAUUGAGGAAUGGAAACAUGCUAAAUAAUUAUGCGAGUCCCCAUCUUACGAAUGUUCAAAACUAAUUAAGCUGGGCAUAAAUUUGUGAUUAGGUUUUUAAAUAUGUGCCAGCUAAAGUCAUCACACAAUAUGGAAGAUGGAGUUGUCAUUAUUAAUGUUUCUUAUGAAUAUUUAAUUUUACUAUCAGUUUCGUUAUCGUUUUAGGCCACAUUCAUCUUCAAAAACUAAACCCUAUAAAAACCCUAGCACCCCUAUCUCCAAUUCUCACACACCCAAGCUAGCCCUCACUUAAUACUAAUUUAGCUUUUGGUUUCCAUUGAGCUUCAAAGACAUCAAACUAUAAUGGCUUCCAAAGCUACCGUCUCUCUUGCAUUUCUCCUUGCUCUCAAUCUUGUUUUCUCCUCCUUCGUUUACGCUGAGGCUGACAAGAAGUGCCCAAUAAACGCUCUUCAGCUCGGUGUUUGUGCAAAAUUGCUCGGGGGUGUUGUCGAUGUCGAGAUCGGCAAGACUUCUUGCUGCCCUUUGAUCGAGGGCCUAGUUGAUCUUGAUGCUGCUGUGUGCCUUUGCACUGCUGUUAAAGCCAAAGUGUUGGGACUGAAUCUCAACAUUCCCGUCGACCUCUCCUUGAUUCUCAAUGGCUGCAAUAAGAAACUUGUUGAGGGCUUCACAUGCUAAAUUAAUUUAUGACCAUCAUUUACUUUCGUUGCUAUUUCAUUGUCUAAUUUGUUUUCAAUUGUUCCAAUUUUAUAUUUCUUGCAGUCGUUUCCUUAAUAAGUUCUCACCUAUUGAUGAUUGUAUCAAUGAGUGACACUAUGUUAUAAAAUCAAGAAUUUAAUAUAUCAAUUCUAUGUUAUUAUUUUCAUAAUUCUUCCUCAGUAUUUAUUAAAAUGUUCUUUGUCAUCCAGUAAUAGGCGAUAAAUCGACAUUUAUGACUUUUCAUUAUUUCUCAAAUGAUAUUGUUUACUUUAACCAUAAUGAAAACAGAAAACAGAAAAGGAACGGUUUCUUUUCUUUGACAGUAUGUGAUAAGAAUAAUAUAUCAAAUAUUUUAUUUGAAAGUAAUAGCAUUGAUCGUCCAAGUUCAGCCAUUUUUCUAACCUUGACUAAUUAAAAAGUAAAGUUUUUUUUUAAAAUACAAAUGAAAUAUAUAUGACAUAAUAUCCUUUUAAAUAUGUAAAGAUCAUGCCUAAAAAACUUUUGAAGUCAAUACUUUUAUCCUCUUUUUUUUUUUAUAUAGUUUUUUUUUAACAGAUUAGACUAUUUCUCCAAAUUAUCAACUGCAAAAUUAGACAUGCAAUGAAUCAUAUACAAUUGGUGUAACACCUGCGCCUAUCCUCUCCAAUCCAUCCCGUUGCCUUCCACUGAUCGAAUCCCCAAUCAAUAAUCCUCCGUCAAAGUCUCGUCUUCGCAAACAUUGAGUUCAUUAGAUUCUGCAACUAUCUUCUAGCUUCUAUUUUAUCAAGAUCAUCAAGCUCCUUAAUCCAGGCUUUUUUAUUCUCCUCAUUCAAACCAUUUUUUCUUUUGCACCAAUCUCUGAUGGAUGAAGAUUAUACUUGUUUGAGCCUUUUCAUACAGGAGUAUCCAGAAUGACAAGGUCGGUAGGUAUUUUUCCACCAAAGCUCAAUGUUUUGCUUGAAUUCAACAUCUUGUAGAAAGACAUUAGUGAAUCUGAAUGAUGUGGGCCCAUCUCAAAAUUUGCUGUUUCAAGAACAAGGGGAAGUGAUAGAAAUAAUACUUUAUGCAUGCACUAUAUAUUUAUCUUUGUGGUAUACUGCUUUAUGUUUGUGGUAUGUGUAUGCAUGAUUUAAAAUGAAUUAAUUUUAAAUUUCAAUUUACUAAUUCCUAGUUAAUGGAAAAAAAAAAACAAAAAAACAAUGAGGGCUCCAUAAAAGUAGAAAAAGAAUGACAUAAUAUGAGCAAAAGAAAACGUGAAAUGAAGUAGAGAGAGAGAGAAAAAAAAAGGAAUGAAAGACAAGGACACACCAUGAAGAGAUAAAAAAUAAAAAAUAAAAUAAAACAAUAACAUAACUUGAAAGCGCAAGAAUGUAAUAUAAGUUCUCAUAAUUGACAAGGUAUUUUUAACAGGUUCAAUCUCAACUAUAUUGCAUUCUCUGUUUAAUGAUUUUACAUCUACCUUAUUUUGUUUUUCUUUUUAUAUUCAUAUGUGUUACGAUUAAUUUAUAUAUACUUCGAUUAAUCUUACAGAAGAAUUCGUUGAUCCUUACAACAAUUGUAACAUGUAUAUUUUUCAAUAAAGAUAUUAUAACAAAAAUGUUCAAACGUGAACAUUGUAAGCUUUUGCAACAUAUAUAAAAUAGUGGAAGCAACUUAUUACAAACAAAAUAUAAUUCAAUCUAUCAAAUCCUAGGAAAGACAUCUUUUGAUGUCCUACCCUAUUGCUAAAAACGUAAAACUUCAUUGCCUUGGAGUCAUCCAUGAUCAUUUAUUUGAAAUUGAAUUCAUUUUAGAAAGAAAUUUUCCAAGAGAUGAGUACAAAUAGUCCAUAAACAAUUUUUACGUCGAGAUUUGAAAUUCAUUCUCAUUCUGUAAAUCAUAAAACAAAUCAUUUUAGAACUUUCAGUCAAACUUUGCUGCAAAAGUAUAUUUUCAAAACUAAAACUUUCAAACAAAACUUUUUUGAGACUAUUUCAAGGAAAAACUCUAGGGUAUUAAUUGAUAGGUAGAUUUUCACUGUAGAUUAAACCUAUUUACCUUUUAACUAUUUUUUGAAAUUAUUUCUUUGUUUAGCAUUAGAUCAAUUCAUGGAAAUCAUUAAUUUAUAUUGUUAUUAUUUUUAUAAUUUCAUAUAUAUGAGAAUUUUGAACUAAUAAUUUUUUUUUAAAGUAAAAACUAGAGGUGAGAGAUUUUAACGCGACUAAUUAUUAUUGACCCCUACGCCAUAUAUAUAAUCUCUAUCAUAAUUGGGAAUCUUAAAUUGAAUUUGGAAGCUAGGUGGCAAAAUAUUAAUUUAUUAUUCUCAUUGGAAAACUUUCAUAUUAGUGGGAGUGGUGUGUGAUGAUGGAGAAUUGUUCAAAAUAGAAAAGAGCAUGGCAAUAUUGCAAACAUAUAUAAUAUAUAAUUUAGAAUUCUGAACUCUCAAUUUCAACGCUUGAUGGAAAUUAUUAACAUAUGUUGUUUCUAAUUCAAAACUUACAAUGUUAGUGGAAAUGGUGUACAUAUGGGCUAUUAUAUAAAACCAAAAGAGUAUAAUAUUGCUCAUAGAGUUUAAACACACAAAUUUUUAAUUAGACAUGCGAAACAUAUAUAUUUUCUUUAAGAACUUAUAAAAUUUAUUUUAGAGAUUUUCUCUUUUAUUGCAUAUGUUUAGUUCUCCAUUCAUCUAUACUGCUUAUAUUUGCCAUAUAUCAUGCCAGAUUAUUGGAUAACAUUAGUCUAAAAAAACAAUACAUGUCACAUUACCACUAAACGUAUUUUAAUUUCAAAUAUUACAAUGUAAUUAAACUAUUGAAUAGAAGAAAAUAAAUAAUAACAACAACAAUAAUAAUGUAGUAGAAAGUACUUUUUGAACUAGAGAUUCCAUUUAUGCUAAUACUAUAUAACAUAGUAAAUUCUUGUGUUACCAUAUAUUGAAGAAUCUAAUUUAAAAAAACAAAAAAACGCAUGCAUUAACCUUAAAUUUCAAGUAAUUGCUGCACCCAAAGAUUGAGGAAUGGAAACAUGCUAAAUAAUUGUGUGAGUCCCCAUCUUACAAAUGAUCAAAAUUAAUUAAGUUGACAUAAACAUGUGAUUAGGUUUUUAAGUAUGUGCCAGCUAAAGUCAUCACGCAAUAAUAUGAAGAUGGAGUUGUCAUUAUUACUGUUUCUUAAGAAUAUUUAAUUUUAUUAUCAGUUUCGUAAUCCUCUUAGGCCACAUUCAUCUUCAAAAAUUAAACCCUAUAAAAACCCUGAAACCCCUAUCUCCAAUUCUCACACACCCAAGCUAACCCUUACUCAAUACUAAUUUAGCUUUUGGUUUCCAUUGAGCUUCAAAGACAUCAAACUAUAUGGCUUCCAAAGCUACCGUCUCUCUAGCAUUUCUCCUUGCUCUCAAUCUUGUUUUCUCCUCCUUCGUUUACGCUGAGGCUGACAAGAAGUGCCCAAUAAACGCUCUUCAGCUCGGUGUUUGUGCAAAAUUGCUCGGGGGUGUUGUCGAUGUCGAGAUCGGCAAGACUUCUUGCUGCCCUUUGAUCAGUGGCCUAGUUGAUCUUGAUGCUGCUGUGUGCCUUUGCACUGCUGUUAAAGCCAAAGUGUUGGGACUGAAUCUCAACAUUCCCGUCGACCUCUCCUUGAUUCUCAAUGGCUGCAAUAAGAAACUUGUUGAGGGCUUCACAUGCUAAAUUAGUUUAUGACCAUCAUUUACUUUCGUUAUUAUUUCAUUGUCUAAUUUGUUUUCAAUUGUUCCAAUUUAAUAUUUCGUGCCGUCGUUUCCUUAAUAAGUUCUCACCUAUUGAUGAUUGUAUCAAUGAGUGACAUUAUGUUAUAAAAUCAAGAAUUUAAUAUAUCAAUUCCAUAUUGUUAUUUUCACAAGUCUUUCUCAAUAUUUAUCAAAAUGUUCUUUCUCAUCGAGUAAUGGGGGAUAAAUCGACAUUUAUGAUUUUUCAUUAUUUCUCAAUUGAUAUUGUUUACUUUCACCAUAAUAGAAAUGGAAAAGGAAUGGUUUCUUUUCUUUGACGGCAUGUGAUAGGAAUGGAUAUAUCAAACAUUUUAUUUGGAAGUAAUAGCAUUGAUUGUGCAAGUUUAGCAAUUUUCUAACCUUGACUAAUUAAAAAGUAAUAUAUUUUUUUUAAAAUACCAAUGAAAUAUAUAUGACUAUCAUAAUAUCCUUUUAAAUAUGUAAAGAUCCUGCCUAAAAAACUUUUAGUAAAUUGGUAUAAUACCUGCGCCUAACCUCUCCACUCCAUCUCGUUGCCUUCCGCUGAACGAAUCCCCAACCAGAAAUCCUCCAUCAAAGUCUCUUCAUCGCACACAUUUGUUUCCUCUGAGUUCAUUACAUUCGGCAACUAUCUUCUAGCUUUCUGCGGAAUCGACAACCCCACCCGUUUCUCUACCGUCGUCGCCACCUCCUAUACCGUCUGAUUUCACAAUUUCGAUUUCAUCUUCUCUUCCUUCAUCGCCUUCUUAUCCAUCUCUACCCUGCUACCGGUACUCCACCGGCCAUCAACUCCCGCACUGUUUUGCCGCCACCUCGGACAGUAUCCUACCG
Molecule: long non-coding RNA, 65434 nt
Filed under: Cucumis sativus (cucumber)
Lineage: Eukaryota; Viridiplantae; Streptophyta; Magnoliopsida; Cucurbitales; Cucurbitaceae
Description: long non-coding RNA (CSAT_LNC001784)
Source: RNAcentral